UUGGAUGUUCUUCAGCACUUGCUCCUCUGGUACGUAGAUCUUUUCAAGGGUUUUCCCAAUCUUUUUCUCCCACAAGGAGACAAGAUCAUUGAAUGAGUAAGUAUUCUGAGGGGGCCUGAUGUAGAGGAUUUUAUUCAAAGUUCUAGGAUCAUUCACAGCUUUGAUGGUAUAGGUGCCAAUGUCAUCCUCCUUGUUAAAAACAGCUGGAGAUGCAAAAACGAAACAGGUAAGAUAGGAGUUGAACCAUUUUCCUUUACCUUAGAAUCUUGGGACUGCUCAGGUCUCUUUGUCAUUAUAUAUAUAUAGAUCAAAAACUCACAGCUGGAAAGCCAACUCCAGAGAACUGUUGACUCAAUAAAGGAGGCUUAGCCCAUCCAAUUCAGUUAAAAACAGAAGGUCAAUAAUGAUUAAUAACUGGAAAUGCAUGAUGAUUCCUUCAGUUCAACAUCAUGUUAGUUGCCUGGGUUAUAGCUCAAUUGCACUGUUGCACCCAAGCAGCAUACCCAACUGCUGGAAGGCUUUGUUUCUGAGUGAACAGGUUUGGUCAGCUGGAGAAGGGGGGAGUGAGGAGGGAUUUUCCAGGUUUAGAAUGGCUACAUUCUGAUCUGAAGGAAUGUAGGCCAUUCUCACCUCAACAACUUUGGCAACCCUGGCUGGAGAAGAUAAUAUGCAGAUACCAGUUUAUGAAAUGGUAAAUUAACAGUCACAUGGAUUUCAUGGUCAUUGAAAUAACUUUUCAUUAGAAUUAUUGUUCACACCCAUUACCAUUGGAUGUUUCAGAGCAGAUGCACCAGUGUAUUUUAAUGUCAAAAGGACAAAAUGCAACAGGGAAGUUCAACUCUUUUAUCAUUUUCAGAAAGGUUGCUUACCCUUUGGAUUCCCAUCUCCUAGAAUAAUAACUUUAUCUCUUGGGGGAGUAGUGGCUCCAGGCUGUGACAAUGAAGGAAGGAAAUAGCCAGCAAAGAAGUUGGAGGAUACAUAGGUGUAGGGAAUUCCUUCAGCCUCAAUAGUGCGGCGGAUUUGAGCCUUAGUUGCAAAUGCUGUUUUUGCUGGCUCAACAGCAUGGACACGGUCCACAUCAUUUCCAAACUCUGAUGGGAAGAAUCUCUAGACAAAAUAAAGCACUUUGAGACAAUGUAUGAAAAACCAGUUAUAUCUAUUCAGUCAUGAUAGCUCACAGACACAGAUCAUAUAUGGGAUAAAUGUUAACAAGAUGAUACAAGUGUUCUACAAGGAUAAAGUUGUCAUGCAAUUAGUACUUGGAAUGGUGGAAGGAAAGAGUGCACUGAUCAGGAUACUUACAUGUAAAGAAAAAAAAUUAAAUGAAAGGGAAGAAAAGAACUACAAAACUUCAUUCUGUAUCAAAUCACUUCAACAUCAAUUUUCAUCUUUUAUUAUUUAAUUAUAAUCCCUAGGGAGUGAUUUCAAAACAUUUGGCAGGAUUUAAUCAGGCUAAAUAGAACAACCACCAUUAGAGAAUAAUGCUAUGUAUCGUUGAAAAAUUAUCCAUAUCCAAUGACAGGCUCAGCUGCAUAGUUAAGUAACAGAUAUGGAUCCAUCAUCUCAUAGGGUAAAUAUUAAGUUCUUAUGGUUCUCCAUUCAACAUAAAGUUCAACAGCACCCAUUCUAGAAGAAACAAUUUGGAGCUCCUGACCUCAUUGUGAAGUGACAUCCAGCCACAUCUCCAUUAUGAGAGAUCUAGACAUCUGAGUCUCAGGGUUCCUUUUGCAGCUUUACAAAAGUGGCGAAGGGACUAUCUUAUGGUAAAGGCUUAUUGUUAUACUAACCAAAAGAAGGAAAUAGCCAUACUUCAGUACUACUUGAAGAGCUAAUAACAUCUCUAAAAUUUGAGGUUUUUUGAUUCCUUUUCCUAUGCUCUUUGAAAAUAUAGGAUUUUUAUUGUAUGUAGAUGAAAUUGUCUUUUAUGGCUUUCAGCAAAUGAUUUCUAUAAGAGUAGCCUCGUCUGAGGGGUUUAAUCAUUUCUAAAAAAAUAAAUUAUUUCCCAAACCAAAUAUUUGAUUAUGAUAAUCAAAAUAUGGGUUAUAUUAUGGCCCUGAAAGCAGUACACAAUAAACCCCAUUUCAGCUGGGAAGAAUAGAUCAAUUGUAAUCAGGCUACAUCAAGAAUUAAAAGCAAUUUUCAAACAUCUAAUAGCUGAGAUUGAGUGGGUUAUGGUACCUUUUUCUUGGAAAAGAACACUCAACUCAAUCCAACCUCACUGAAAUACCAUAGAUCUAGCAAGAAAAGAAUGUUAAGGUCUUUCAUGCACUUUCAAAGACUCUUUUAACAUUUCUAAGGAAGGUGAUAUCAUAUCAUGCACAAAGGAUAAAGAUAUUUGCGACAAAUGAUUACAAAUGCCAAUAAUAAAUAAAUAUCACAGUACUAGGAUCUGCAAAGAAGGGAGAAAUGACAAGGAGAAGCUGAGAAAUUGCAUCAGUUCGGACGGUUAUACCUUAACAUUUCCAGCUUCUUUGAUGGCAGCAAUGAUCUUCACUUGAUCCGGCAACUGUGCGUGGCCAACCGUGGAGAUCACAACAUCUACUUGCUUGAUCGCCUUCACCAAACUCUCGUGAUCGUAUAGAUCUCCCUGAAACAUAACAUAACCAAUCAAUAAACUAUUUCAUAACCCUAAUUCUCCAAUUAAGAAGUAAGAAUCCAAAGAUAGGUGUAUUUUUCCAGUUCACUGAAACCAAACAACUUAAAACAAAAACAUCCGAACUUUUCUUUUCCUGAGGAUCGCCAAUUUUUUCUUUCUGGAUGAGUGAAGAAUUUCAGUUUUCGUUUUUUUAGGAACUUCAAGAUCCAAAAAAUUCUAGAACUCCAACAAAUUUCGUUAAUUUUCCCGGCGGCAAUAAGAAGCAAAAAUUGGAAAAGCAAGAAUGGCGAGAAAAGAGAGCGAAUAGAACGUACAUAAACCAAAGUCACGCCAGAGCUCUUGAAACUCUCAAUGAUUUCAAACUUCUCCGAAACUGUGGAUUCUCUGACGAGAGCGAAGGUAGGGUGACCGGACUUAGCGCUGGCAGCGACGAUAAACUUUCCGAUGUAGCCAGUGCCGCCGAUGAUGAGAAUCUUGCUCUUUUCGGACAUUGUUAACUUUUUUCGGGCGAAUCUCCGGCGAGAUAUGUGGAAUGAGAAGACUAAGAUGAAAGGUCGCGGGGAAGUGGAUGGGCUCCAAAGACCAAGGACGACGAUCUUAUAGGACUGAGGAAAUUAAGAUUGUGUAAUUACGGAACUAGCCUUGUGUUUGAGCCGUAACUUCCGUUUUGGCUAUAUUUUGUAUGCGGCUUCAUUUUUAUGUGAUUCACGAAUGUGUCCAAGUUCAUUUGUUUGACACUUGGUUGGAAUCAGUCAAAUUACAAAACUACCAAAUGUUUGGUUUGGAAAGCGAAAAAGUGUACAAUCCGUUAGUAGAGGGAAAAAAAAUGUGUUUUGAGUAUAAAAUUAAUUAUAAAAUAUUAAUUUUUUAAAAAUAAUUUAAGUUUCGUGCAUUCAUCGAUUAAAAAUAAUACUUAAAAUAGUUAAUAGUAAUACCUAUAUCAUUAAAAUAUAGUACUUAAAUUAUCAAAGAUAAUACCUUUUGAUAGCGAAAAAUCCUCCAUUGAUAAUAGGAAGAUAUCUUCUACUGAAAUCAAAAAUAAAUUUUUCAUCAAAAUCCCUAUUUUACAUUCAAAUGUAUAUUCCAUCUAUGCAUUUAUCUCUUCCUUUGCAUUUAUCGUUUCAAUAUUCUCUUAAUUUUGUUCCAUUUUUAUAGACUUACACAUAUAUUCUUUUAAAUAUCAGACCCGUUUUACCUUUAAUUAAAAAGUAUAUGAAAUAAUAAUUAUUUUUAGAUAAUUAUAUAAAAUUUAUAAUUAUAUAAAUUGAGUUUUGAAAAAGCAUGAGAGAGAAAGGAAAAAGAUAUUGGUUUAAUUAAGGCAUACAAGUCGGUCUUCUUGAAGGGUAGUUAGAUUCCCUACCUAAACUCAGUCUUCUUUUUUAUUGCUAUGAAACUUCUUGCCAAGUUCCAAGUUUUUAGUCAAUGGAUUUAUUAAAUUCUGGUAUGACUUGGUGGGGUGUGUAGUAAUUAGUCUACGGGAGAGUCAUUAUUAAUAUGAAGCAGGGAUUAUUAUAAUAUUUUACUACAUUUCCAAUAGCAAAUGCUACCUCGAAGAAGUUACACGUCACAGCGAGACGCUCGAGAACUUUCGCAGAUUCCAAGACUUGACUUUCAAGCGAGCCAAAAGCCUUGGAUAUCAGAUUCCAAUUGGAAUGGUUAAACCUUUUCAAAUGUUUUCCAUAUAAUUUUAUUGGUUAAAAAAUAAUUAUAAAAGGGUUAUUUGAUUAAAAGGACAUUAAAAAUCUAAUCCUUUAUUUUUUUUUUAAUUAUAUUUUGAUUAAAAUGCCUUAUUCUUUUCUUGUAAAAAUAAUUUUUUUAAAACCUAUAUAUAAAUAAUUAAAAUAAUUAAGAAUAUUUAUGUAAAAAAUAAUUAUUUAAAAAAAAACAAAAAAAAUGUUAAGUUCAUAAAUUUGAAAAUUAUUUCAUCAUUUUAACCAAUCAAUUCAUUAUAAAACACUAAAAUCUCUUUUAAAAACACGACUUCUCUUUUUAAAUUUAAAUACAUGCUUACCCAGUAAAAUGAUUACCUUUUUCCAAAGUUUUUACUAUAAUUUGAUCCGAUAAAAAAAAUGAUAAUUAUAAGAGGAUGUUUAAUAAAUCAACUUAAUGAGUUAAAGAGAUUUAAUAACUCAAUUUAAAUUAUUAAGUAGAUUAAACAUGUUCGAUAAAAUAACUUAAUCUCACCACUAAUAUUUAAAAAGAGCUUUAAGUAUUCGGUCAAAAUAAUUAAUUUAAUUUUAAUUUUAAUUUUAAUAUUUUUUGUCUUAUUUACCUACAUGAACACAUAUUUAACAAUCAUAAUAUUAUAGUAAUAUGCUAAAUAUUUAAAUAUUUUAAUUAUAUUAUAUACUAAUAUGCUAAAUAUUUAAAAGCGUUACUCGUAAUUAAUAAUAUUAUAUAUUACUAUUAUCAUUAUAAAUUUUAUUAUACAUACAUUUAUUAAGAAGAAUACAUUUAUGAUGUCAGCUAUACUUAAGGAUUGUUGUAUUUAAUAUACAAAAGUGUGGGAAGAUGCGAUCGGGGUAUUUAAUAUAUAUAUUACUUCAUUAUGACAUACAUAUAAAAUAAAUAAAAGGUGGAUUCCACUUAUUCUACCUACCAUUCAUGGACCAUAUAAGAUAUAUUAUUUUAUCUUUUUAUCUUAUAUUAUAUUAGAUUAUAUUUAACAAACUAAACAAGACAUAAAGGACAACCGUUGUAUCAAAUUUCAAACUUGAAUAGUUCAUGAACUAAGCAUCAUUGCCUUUUCUUGUCUCAAUAGAAUAAGCCUUUUAAUUGUUUUAUAUACAUUUAUUUCUUCAUCAAGCCUGUUUCUUUCAAGCUCCCUCUCUUGAGCUAGAAAUAUUAUAGUAGGAGCUAGGUGUUCCUUUCUGUAUAGCUCCAUCUCUAAUCAGGUAUCAGAGAAGAUAAAAAAUCUAAUUCCAGAAACUUCUACUUGGAUAAGAUUAGAAAGGCACAUUGUCCUACUACAGAAUAUGCCCAAUGGCAUAGACAAGGAAAUAACCCACUAUUUUCCACACAACAUAAAUUAAGACAGCCACACAUGUUUGCUUAUUUAGAUAGUGCAGCAUGAAAAUGAAAAAGUUGAAAACUACCAGGACCAGAGUCUAACCUCAUCCUAUUUGACAUCAGGAUAUAGCUCUGAAGCCUCCACUCCAAAUGAUGGCUCGAUCUCGAAGUUGGUCUGGUCACCCUUAACAAAAACAGAGUGAUCGAUCGAUAAUAUUGCGUUGAGUGGAGCUGAGGCUUCUGCAAGAAACAGUGGAAAACCCAUUAAUCUAAAGGUCUUAGCCAUCAUUAACAGAUCAACUAUAUAAACGGAUUUUGGAGCCAAAAUGGCCUCUAUGGCUGAAAAAUUAUCCUUUGUGGAGACCUUCUUAAACUUAUUAUCAAGGUAGACCUCUUCAUGUCAAGCAGGAGUCAUUAAAUUAAUUUUUUCCUUUUUAAACUUAAGUUGAAACCACGUUUUGAAAAGGGUUUUUGCAUGCAUGGGUCAAAAUAAUUAUCAAAUUGCAAAAAUGACCCCUCUCUUUAGUUUUAUUGAGAGAUGUUCCUCUUUAAACACUUUUACCCUUUCAGAAAGAUCAUCUCCCUACUUAUUUUAUUCAUUCUAUACAUUUCUCAAUUUCUCCAAUCUCAUUUAUCUUUUCAGUUCAUUUUUUUUUUUUUAUCUCUCUUCUUCCUAACUCUCUGAGUCUCUUGCAUUACCAUGACUUCAGUUUUAAGUGUGACCACCAACUUAAUUUUUUCAUUUUUCUGGCCUUAUCUUAAACUUGCUUUGUUUCUUUUUCAAUGGAUGACACUCUAGGAAAACUUGAUCUCAUUUCAUAAUGUCCCACCCAAUUUUCUUAUCUCUCAAACAACUCCUCAUUCUCAUUCUUGAUGUUCAACUGAAGUGUUAAGUUUUAUUUAUUACGAAUUUAACUAAGGUUAAAUUUUGAUUGAGAAUGAUAAGCUAAAUUACACAAGUGUUACGUUUGGUUGCAAAAAACUUAAUUAGAGUUAAAUUUUCAAUCAUAAUAGUAAUAUGAACCCCGCUAAGUUAAGUUUUAUUUACAAAAGACUUAUGUGGGGUUAGAUUUCUAUUUCAUUUACAAAGGACUUGAUUAUGGUAACCUGAACUAUACUCUGGUUAAGUUUCAUUUAAAAAUAACUUAAUUAGGGUUAAGUUUUUGUUUCACCUACAAAGAACUUGAAAAAGAUCAAGGUCUUGUUAAAAUGCUCAUUUUCACUUAACUACCGAAACAUAGGGCUCGAUAAAAAUAGAGUUGGAUAAGAGAUUUAGUAAAUAACAGCUUUCUAUUCAAUCUCAUCUUCGACGUUGUAGAAGUUCAAAUGAAAUUGCAAAAUAAUCCUAACAAAAAAAAUUAGAAAAAACCCUAACAAAAAACAAUGACAUAAAACCCAACUAAAAAGAAAGAGAAAGAUGAGAUUCGAUCUCAUCUUCGCCAUUAUAGAAGUUUACAUGAAACUCCUAACAAAAAACAACGACAAAAAACCUCAACAAAAAGCUUCAUCCAAAAACAACGAGAAAAAACGCUAACUAGAAACAAAGAGAGAGAUGGAGAUCUGACCUCAUCUUCUAUAUUGUAGAAGUUCAAAUGAAGCUGCAACCAAACAAAAAACAACUCCUAAAAUUUGAAAUGUAAAGGGCUCUAAUGUUUGUUCAGGGGUUUGGACUUCACUGGAAAAAGAGAUGGAACAUGAACUUAGAGAGAAGGAAGAACCUAGAGAGAAGGAGAAAGCUAGGUAUCAAAAAUAGAAGGAACAUUUUUGGAGGAAGUAAAGAAGAGUAAAAAUGUCCAAAAUUGGUCAUUUCUCUAAAGAAUGAAUAAGGGAAGUCAUUAUUUCGAUUUUAAAAGUAUUUUAGUCGACUUCAAUCGAGGUCUGGGGCAUGAUCAGCAGAUUUUACCAGCAGUCCAGGUAACAUUUUCUAACUCAAAACAAUUGAAUCAAAAACCAAUUUCAUUUAAACAAUCUAGCAUAAAGGGAAUGUCAUAUUCACAAUCUCUGUUCCAAUUUAAAUUCACUAGGAAAACCAAAGCUUGAACACUUCCAAAAAGGAAAAUGUUUCUCACUAACCUUGGAUGUUCUUCAGUCACUCUGGAACACAUGUUUCUUUAUUUAAUGGUGCAGCAUGAGAAUGAAAACUACCAGAACCAGGAAGUACCUCUCACACAAACUGGUUGAGGUACUCAUCCACAGUUGUGUAUUUGACAUCAGGAUAUAGCUCUGAAGCCUCCACUCCAAAUGAUGGCUUGAUCUCAAAGUUGGUGUGGUCUCCCUUAACGAAAACAGAGUGACAGAAUGCUAACAUCACAUUGAGUGGAACAGAGGCUUCUGCAAGAAACAGAGGAAAACCAUCAAUCUGAAGACAUUUACCAUCAUUAAAACAUCAACUAUAUGAACAGAGUUUAGGGCCAAAAAAUGGCCUCUGUGGUAAAAAAAUUAUCCUAUGUAGGAACCUUCCCUAACUUACCAUCAAACUAGAACUCUUGAUGCCACCUAGGCACAAUUUUUUAUUUUUUCCCUUUUUUAGUCAUAGGUUGAAACUGCAUUUUGAAAAUGCGGUUUCUGAUUUUAUGUGAAGCCACAUUUUGAACAAUGGCUUGAAACAUGAUCCAAACUCAAUAUCAUUUGACCAAAACAGGCCUUUUUUACCCAAAGUUCAUAUAAACACGUGAUACUUCCAAGUUCAACCAACUCCUCUUUCUUUCUUCUUUUUAUUCCCUUCUUUUUUCAAAUCCAAUGAGCAAUAGUGAAUUGUUAGUCUGUCAUAUGAAUCUCUUAGGAAGACCUUAAUCACGGUCUGGGGCAUGAUCACCAGAUUUUACCAGUAGGCCAGCUAACAUUUUCUAAGAAAAAAGAAUUGAAUCAAGAACCAAUUACAUUUUAACAAUGCAGCAUAAUGGGAAUGCUCUAUUCCCAAUCUCUGUUCCAAUUUAAAUUACUAGGAAAACCAAAGUUUGAACAGUUUCAAAAAAUGAAAAUGUUUCUCACUAACCUUGGAUGUUCUUCAGAACUUGCUCCUCUGGAACAUAUAUCUUCUCAAGGGUUUUUCCAAUCUUCUUUUCCCAUAAGGAGACAAUUUCGUUGAAUGAGUAGGUGUUCUGAGGAGGCCUGAUGUAAAGGAUUUUGUUCAAGGUUCUAGGAUCAUCCGCAGCUUUAAUGGUAUAGGUGCCAAUGUCAUCCUCCUUGUUAAAAACAGCUGGAGAUGCAAAAAUGAAAUGAGUAAAAUAGAGUAGAAUCAUCUUCCUAUUCCUUCAAGCUUGGACUACUCCGUAAUUCCACUUUUUUUGUUUACAGAACACAAACUUGAAAUUAUUUUGAUAUGAAACCAAGUUAUUGUUUUCAUUUAAUGCUCAUGUCAAAAACUCUCAGCUGGAGAGCAACCCAAGAGGACUGUCAAUAUAAAAAAAGAGGCUUUAGCCCAUCCAGUUCAGAUAAUAAUGAUUAAUUACUAGAAGUGCACAAUGGUUCCUCAGUUUGACCACUCCAGGUCACAUGGAUCAUGCUAGUUUCCUGUAUUAUGGCUCAAUUGCAAUGUAGCACCCAAGCAGUCAACCUCAACUGUCGGAAGGUUUUGUUUCUGGGUGAACGGGUUUAACCAGCUGGGGAAAGGGGGAGUGGGGUGGGGUUGUCCAGGUUUCAAAUAGCCACAUUCUGAUUUUCAGGAAUAUAGACCAUUCUCACCUCAACAACGCUGGCAACCCCAUCAAUUUUUUUGCCUGGAGAAGGAUAAUAUGCAGCUAUUGGUUGGUGAAAUGGUAAAUUACACUCUCAAAAGGAUUCCAUGCUCAUCUACAUAACCCGCUGAUUAGUAUUACUUUUUAAGCCCACUAUCAUCAGAUGUCACUGAUACAUGGACCGGUGCAUUCUAACAUCAAAACGAGAAAAUGCAAUGGGAAAUUAAGUUGUAUGAUUUUCAGAGGUUGCUUACCUUUUGGAUUCCCAUCUCCUAAAAUAAUAACUUUAUCCCUGGGGGGAGCGGUGGCUCCAGGCUGUGAAAAUGUAGGAAGGAAAAAGCCAGCAAAUGUGUUGGAGGACACAUAGGUGUAGGGAAUUCCUUCAGCCUCAAUAGUGCGGCGGAUUUGAGCCUUUAUCUCAAAGGCUGUUUUUGCUGGCUCAACCGCAUGUACACGGUCCACAUCAUUUCCAAACUCUGAUGGGAAGAAUCUCUGGAUGAAAUAAAGCACUUUAAGAAGAAGCUGUAUAACUCAAUAGAUUGAAAAACGGGUCAUAUCUAUUUAGUCAUAUUAGCUCACGACAGGGAUCCUAUAUGGGAUACACUUUGACGAACUUGAUACAAGUGUUCAGCAACCAUAAAGACAUACAAUUAGCAAUUCAAACGAUGGAAGGAAAGAGUGCACUGAUCAGGAUUCUUAAAAAGUGAAAGAAAAAACCAUGUAAGAAAUGUGAAAAAAAAAACUACCAAACUUCAUUCAUAGAAGGAAAAUGCGCACUAAUCAGGAUGCUUAGAAGAUGGAAGAAUAAAAACUAAAUGAAAACAGGAGAAAAAAAAAAAAAAAAACUUCAUUCUUGUUUAGUUGUCUUGCUGCUUUUUGAAGCCUUUUGUAUACCAUUUGUCUACAUUGGGUGUGCUGUCUUUUUUUGUUAGGCGCUUCUCUGUUAAUAUAGUUUGUUUUUAGCCUAUCAAAAAAAGGGGGGGGGGGGGGUGGUGGUUGUGGGUGUAUACAAUGGAUUGGAAGUGGUAUAGCAUGCCCCAUGAAAGGGAAUUAGUAUUUAAAAUUUUUUCCUUUUUACAUCAAAAAUUAAGAUUGACUUUAAAGCAUCGAUCCAACCUGAGUCAAUGCACAUGGAUCUAGACAAGAAUCAAGAUUGUUGAUCCUCAAUGAAUAUUGUAUAUAUGGAAUGUUCUUUCAUGCACUUCCAACAUUUCUAAAGAAGGUAUUAUUACAUUAUGCACAAAGGAUAAAGAUAUCACCAACAAAUUAUAACAAAUUCCAAUAAUAAAUAUCAUAGUACUCGGAUUUGCAAAGAAAAGAGGGAAUUAGAAAGAAGAAAAGGAGAAAAGGAGAGAAAUUUCGUCAAUUUGGACAACUUUACCUUGACAUUUCCAGCUUCUUUGAUGGCAGCAAUGAUCUUGACUUGAUCCGACAACUGUGCGCGACCAACGGUCGAGAUGACCACAUCCACUAGAUUAAUCGCCUUCACCAAACUCUCGUGAUCGUAUAGAUCACCCUGCAACAUAACAUAACCAAUCAAUAAACUAUUUCAUAACCCUAAUUCCCCAGUUAAGAAGUAAGAAUCCAAAAGCAGGUGUGUUUUUUCACUUUACUGAAACCAAAAUAACUUAAAACAUAAACAUCCGAACUUUUCUUUUCCUGAGGAUCGCCACUUUUUUCUUUCUGGAUGAAUGAAGAAUUCCAGUUUUCGUUUUUUUAGGAACUUAAACAUCCAAAAAUUCAAGAACUCCAAUUAAUUUCAUUCAUUUUCUCGGCGGCCAAAAGAAGCAAAAAUUAGAAAACCAAGAAUAGCGAGAAAUGAGAGCGAAUAUUACGUACAUACACCAAAGUCACGCCGGAGCUCUUGAAAAUCUCAAUGAUUUCCGACUUGGAAGGAUUCGAAACGGCGGAUUCUCUGACGAGAGCGAAGGUAGGGUGACCGGACUUAGCGCUGGCAGCGACGAUGAAUUUUCCGAUGUAGCCAGUGCCGCCGAUUAUGAGAAUCUUGCUCUUUUCGGACAUUGUGAGCUUUUCCGGCGAAUCUCCCGCGAGAAAUGUGGAAUUGAGAGGACUAAGCGAAAGGUGACUGGAGAGUUGGUGGGCACCAACGGCCAAAGACAAUGCUCUUGUAGGACAGAGCUCGAGGAUAUUAGGAUUAUGUAAUUACGGAACUAGCCUUGUGUUUUGGUGGUAAUCUCCGUUUUGGUUAUAUUUUGAAUGUGGCUUGAUUUUUAUGUGAUUCAUGAAUGUGUCAAAGUUCGCUUGUUUGAAAAUUGGUUUAGAUUGGAAAGUGAAAAAGUGUAUAUCACAUGAGAGAUUUAUAAAUAGAAAAAAAUGUAUUUUCACACACUAAUGUAAAAAUAAUUACAAAAUAAAAACUCUUUAAAUAAUUAUAAAAUAAAAACCCUUUAAAAAUAAUUUAAAUUUUAUGCACUCAUCGAGUACAUGAAAUGAUAAUUUAAUAUAGUUAUGUGUAACGACCCGCUCUCCCAAUAAUGACUCCCCUAGCUUUAAAAAAACGUCUUUAGGAUUAAGAUUGAUACUAUUUAUAAUAACUCGUAAAACCUAAAAAGGUCAUCACGACUUUAAAAUGCGUUUGCAAGAUUAAAAAAAAAUAAAAAAAAUUAUACUUAGAUAGUGUUAGGAACUUUCUCCCCUAUCUGAUGUGUGAUGUUACAAAUAUCCCCCAUGCAGACACAACAUCCUUGUUGUAUCUCAUGGAAUUGUGGAAUUAGAAUGAUAAUUUAAUGUAAUUAUGUGUAACGAUCCACCCUAUUUGAUGUGGGAUGUCACAAAUAUCCUCAUGCAGACACAACGUCUUUGUUGUAUCUCAUGGAAUUGUGGAGUUAAAAUGAUAAUUUAAUGUAGUUAUGUGUAAUGACUCGUUGUCCCAAUCAUGUAGAUAUUAUUCGUUUUGGACCCAAAAAAUGACUUUCCUGACUUUAAAAAAACGUCUAUGUGAUUAAGAUUGAUAUCGUUUAUAAUAACUCGCAGAACCUAAAAAGGUCCCCACGACUUUAAAAUGUGUUUACAAGAUUUUUAAAAAAAAUUAUACUUAUAUAGUGUUAGGAACUUUCUCUCCAUAUGAUGUGAGAUGUCACAAACAUCCCUAUGCAGACACAACGUCCUUAUUAUAUCUCAUGGAAUUAUGGAGUCAAAUAGACAAACACUCCCUAUGAGGCAAACAAACUCCCACACCGAAAUCAGAGAUCAAUUCCGAUAUUAUUUGUAACGAUCUACUCUCAAUUAUAUAAAUAUUGUCCAUUUUAAUCCGAAAGGGCAUUACAGUUUUAAAACGUGUGUACAGGAUUAAGAAAAGCCUUUACAUAUACAGUGUCAUGAUUUUUUUUUUCCUAUCGGAUGUGAGAUGUCAUAUUAUGAAUCCGUCAUUCUGUCUUUAUUCAUUUGUUGCAUUUAAGAUAUUUGAAAAAUUGAGCGAUUUUAUAAAAUGAGUUUUGAAAAGGCAUGAGAGAAGGAAAAAGAUACUAGUUUAAUUAAGGCUUACAACCCGGUCUUCUUAAAGGGUGGUUAAAUUCCCUGCCUAUUAAAUUUCUUAUCAGGUCGUUAGUCAAUGGAUCUAUUAAAUUCUAGUAUGACUUUGUAGAGUAGUAAUUACUCCAUGGGUGAGUAAUUAUUAAUAUGUAGCUGGGAUCAUUAGUAUAUUUUACUACAUUUCCAAUAGAAAAUGCUACCUCAAAUAAGUUACAUGUCUCCGCGAGACACUCAAGAAUUUCAGCAUAUUCCAAGACUUGACUUCCAAGUUAGCCAAAAGACAUGGAUAUGAGAUUUCAAUUGAAAUGAUUAAACCUUUUUAGAAUGUUUUCACUAUAAUUUCAUCGGCACAAAAAAAUAAUUAUAAAACACUAAAAUCUCUUUUAAAAACAUGUCUUUUAUUUUUAAAUUUAAACACUUACUCAUCAUUUUUAUUAGGAAUGAUAAUGAGACAAGUUUUUUUAGAUAUUUGUCUGCCUUGUUCUUAAUGAAAUGGGUUUAAAAUUUAAAUAAACGAAAUUAGAAUGAAUUUGGGAUUUUUUUAAAAACUUGGUACUAGCUAUUGUCUUUUCUCAUCCUAUCUAAAUUAUAUAUAAAAUUAAUUUAGUUUUAUUUUUAUUUCCCUAUUUGAUAUAUAUAUAUAAUUAUUUAUAAAAUACAUUUAUUUUAAUGUAAUUAAAUUUAAAAAAAUCAAAAUAAAUAAAUAAAUAAGACGAGAUGGGCAUGAAAAAUUCACAUACCUACCUUAUUUAAUUUUUUAAAUAAGAUAGAAAUGAGAAUUAUUUUGAAUAAACAAGAUAAGGUUGAAAUGAGAUCAACUCGUCUUAAACUAGUCUCGUUGCUAUCUCUAUUUUUUAUACUUUUUUAGUUGAAAGGGAUAAAUGAAUUAAAGUUAAGGAUUAAGAUUAAAUAUUCUACUUUACAAAAAAAAAAAUGAGACUAUUAAAUAUUAUUAGAAUUUUAUCAACUAGUCAUAAGAGUUUAAAAAAGAAAAUAUUGAUGAACAAUUCGUAGGAGGAAAUGAAUUGAGAAUAAAUUGACCUAGUGAACCUUCAGUUGCAUUGCCUCCUACUAUGUUCCACUUAUUCAGAAACGAAAGAGAAAGGAUGAGGGAUCUAUAACUAUAAGUUAAAAGGACAAAGGAUCAGGACAAAUAGAGGAUAUAUAUUAUGAGAUAUUAUUUCUAAUAGAAUAUGAUAUUUUAAAAUAUUGCAUUUAAUAUCAUUUAGAAAUUCUUCUCUUAUUUUUAUUUUAAUAAAUAAUUUUUAGUAUUUUAGUAAUAAUGUUUAUGAUUAUAAAUAAUAUAUAUAUAUAUAAAAUUAUAUUAUAUACUAAUAUGCUAAAUAUUUAAAAGCAUUACUAGUAAUUAAAUGAUACUAUAUAUUAAUAUGAUCAUUAUAAAUUUUAUUAUACAUAUAUUUUUUAAUUCUUUUAUUAAGAAGAAUAAAUUUAUAAUGUCAGUUAUACCUUAGGAUUGUUGUAUUUAACAUAUAGAGAUACAAAAGCGAGGAAAAAUGCAAAAGAAACUAUGAUUGAGUUAUUCUAUCAUUUACCGACCAAACAUGAUACAAAAUAUAUUAUCUCAUCUUUUAUCUUAUAUUAUAUUAUAUUCAACAAACUAAACAUAACAUAAUAGACCGACAUUCUAUCAAAUUUCUCGUAUUGUGAUUUUAAAACUUGAAUAGUUCAUGAACUAAACAUUAUUGCCUUUUCUUGUCUCAAUGGAAUAAGCGUUUUAAUUGUUCUAUAUGCAUUUCUUCAUCAAGCUCCCUCUUUUGAGCUAGAAAUAUUAUAUUAGGAGCUAGGUACUCCUUUUUGUAUAGCUCCAUCUCUAAUAAGGUACCAAAGAAGAUAAACUACAAAGGCAAAGAAAAUCUAAUUCCAGAAACUUCUACUUGCAUAAGAUUAGAAAGGCACAUUGUCCUAUUACAGAAUAUGCCCAAUGGCAUAGACAAGGAAAUAACCCACUAUUUUCCACACAACAUAUAUUAAGACAGCUGCACAUGUUUGCUUGUUUAGAUAGUGCAGCAUGACAGUGAAAACUACCAGGACCGAAGUCUACCUCUCAAACAAGCUGGUUGAGCAACUCAUCCACAGUUGUGUAUUUGACAUCGGGAUAUAGCUCUGAAGCCUCCACCCCAAAUGAUGGCUCGAUCUCAAAGUUGGUUUGGUCUCCCUUAAUGAAAACAGAGUGAUCGAUUGAUAAUAUUGCAUUGAGUGGAGCAGAGGCUUCUGCAAGAAACAGAGGAAAACCCAUCAAUAUGAAGAUUUUAGCCAUCAGAUCAACUAUAUAAACAGAUUUUGGGGCGAAAAUAGCCUCUAUAACUGAAAAAUUAUCAUAUGUGGAUACCUUCUUUAACUUAUUAUCAAGCUAGGCCUCUUCAUGUCACCUUGGAGUCAUUUAAUUUAAUUUUUUCCUUUUUAAAUGUAAGUUGAAAAUGCAUUUUGAAAAGAGUGUUUGGACACACGAGUCAAAAUAAUUAUCAAAUUGUAAAAAUAACCCUUUUUUCAAUUUUGUUGAGAGAUCCCAGCAGUCAAAAUAAUCAUAUAAUCAAACCCAGUCUUUUUCUUCCCAACCUUUUUUUUUUUGGCCUUAUCUUAAACUUGCUCUAUUUCUUUUUCAUUUAAGACACUCCAGAAAAACUCAAUCUCAUUUCAUAAUGUCCCACUGAAUUUUCUUAUCUCUCAAACAACUUCUCAUUCUCAUUCGUGAUGUUCACCUAAAGUGUUCUAUGAUUAAAUUUUAUUUAUUACGAAUUUAACUAAGGUGAAAUUUUCAUUAAGAUUGGUUAGCUGAAUUGCACUAGUGUUAUGUUUGGUUGUAAAAAACUUAGUUAGAGUUAAAUUUUCAAUCAUAAUAGUAAUAUGAACUCCACUAUGGUUAAGUUUUAUUUACAAAAAACUUAAGUGGGGUUAGAUUUCUAUUUCAUCUACAAAGAACCUGAUUAUGGUAACUUGAACAAUCCUCUGGUUAAGUUUCAUUUAGAAAGAACUUGAUCAGGGUUAAGUUUCCAUUUCACCUAUAAAGAACUUAAGUAAGAUCAAGGUCUUAAUUAAAAUGUUCAUUUGCAUUGAACUACCAAAACAUCGGACUUAGUAAAAACAAAGUUAGAUGAGAGAUCUAGUAAAUGAUAAGUUUCUAUCUGAUCUCGUCGUCAACAUUGUAGAAGUUCAAAUGAAAUUGCAAAAUAACCCUAAUAAAAAAAAAAUUAGAAAAAACCUCUAACCAAAAACAAUGACAAAAAACAAAACUAAAAACAAAGAGAAAGACGAGAUUCGAUCUCAUUUUCGUCACUAUAGAAACUUACAUGAAACUACAAAAAACCUUAGCAAAAAACAACGACGAAAAACAAAGAGAGAUGGAGAUCUGACCUCAUCUUCUAUAUUGUAGAAGUUCAAAUGAAGUUGCAAAACCCCUAACAAAAAACAACUCCUAAAAUUUGAAAUAGAUAAGGCUCUAAUCUUUGUUCAAGGGUUUGAACUUCACCAGAAAAAGAGAUAGAACAUGAACUUAGAGAGAAGGAGAAGGCUAGGUAUAAAAAAAUGGAAGGGGCAUUUUUGGAGGAAAGAAAGAAGAGUAAAAAUGUCCAAAAUUGGUCAUUUCUCAAAGGGAAGUCAUUAUUUCGAUUUUAAAAGCAUUUUAGUCGACUUCAAUCGAGGUCCGGGGCAUGAUCACCAGAUUUUACCAGCAGGUCAGCUAACAUUUUCUAAGUUAAAAACAAUUUAACCAAGAACCAAUUUCAUUUUAACAAUCUAGCAUAAAGAGAAUGUUCUAUUCACAAUCUCUGUUCCAAUUUAAAUUCACUAGGAAAACCAAAACUUGAACACUUCCAAAAAGGAAAAUGUUUCUCACUAACCUUGGAUGUUCUUCAGAACUUGCUCCUCUGGAACGUAUAUCUUCUCAAGGGUUUUUCCAAUCUUCUUCUCCCACAAGGAGACAAUUUCGUUGUAUGAGUAGGUGUUCUGAGGAGGCCUGACGUAAAGGUUUUUGUUCAAGGUUCUAGGAUCAUCCACAGCUUUAAUAGUAUAGGUGCCAAUGUCAUCCUCCUUGUUAAAAACAGCUGGAGAUGCAAAAGUGAAAAUGAGUAAGAUAGAAUAGAAUCACCUUCUUAUUCCUUCAAGCUUAGACUACUCUGUAAUUCCACCUUUUUUCUUUUACAAAACACAAACUUAAAAUUAUUUUCAUAUGAAACCAAGUUAUUGUUUUCAUUUAAUGCUUAUUUUUUCAAAAACUCUCAGUUGGAAAGCAAACCCCAGAGAACUGUUGAUAAAAAAAAGAGGCUUUAGCCCAUCCUGUUCAGUUUAAAACCCAAUAAUAAUUAUUAGUUACUGGAAAUGCAUAAUGGUUCCUUCAGUUCAACCCCUCCAGGUCACCUGGAUCAUGCUAGUUUCCUGGAUUAUGGCUCAACUGCAGUGUCACACCCAAGCAGUUGACCCCAGCUGUCCGGUUUUCAAAUAGCCACAUUUUGGUUUUCAGGAAUACAGACCAUUCUCACCUCAACAACACUGGCAACCCCAUCAAAUUUUCUGCUUGGAGAAGAUAAUAUGCAGCUAGUGGUUGAUGAAUGCACAUUCAAAUAACCCAUUGAUUAGUAUUACCUUUUAAGCCCACUAUCAUCAGAUGUCAUUGAUCAUGGGAGCGAGUGCAUUCUAAGGUCAAAAGAAGAAAAUGAAACAGAAUUUCAGUUGUUUUACGAUUUUCAGAGGUUGCUUACCUUUUGGAUUACCAUCUCCUGGAAUAAUAAUUUUAUCCCUGGGGGGACCAGUGGCUCCAGGCUGUGAUAAUCUAGAAACGAAAAAGGCAGCGGUGGCUUCAAGCUGUGAUAAUCUAGGAAGGAAAAAGCCAGCAAAGAAGUUGGAGGACACGUAGGUGUAGGGAAUCCCUUCAGCCUCAAUAGCGCGGCGGAUUUGAGCCUUUAUCCCAAAUGCUGUUUUUGCAGGGCCAACCGCAUGGAUACGGUCCACAUCAUUUCCAAACUCUGAUGGGAAGAAUCUCUGGAGGAAAUAAAGCACUUUGAGAAGAAGUCAUAUGACUUGAUAGAUGAAAAACCACUCAUAUCUAUUUAGUCAUAAUAGCUCACAGACAGGGAUCAUCCAUGGGAUACACUAUGAUGAACUUGAUACAAGUGUUCAGCAAGAAUAAAGUUACACUUAGCAAUUCAAAUGAUGGAAGGAAGAAGUGCACCGAUCAGGAUGCUUAAAAAGUGAGAGAAAAAACUAAAUGGAGAAGGUGAAGAAAAAAGCUACCAAACUUCAUUCAUGAAAGGAAAAAGUGCACCAAUCAGGAUGCUUAAAAAGUGGAAGAAAAAACUAAAAGAAAAAAGGUAAAAAAAAAAAAAAAAAAAACCCACCAAACCUCAUUCUGUCCUGAAUCACUUCAGUUUUAAUUUUUAAUUUUUAAUUAUUUAAUUAGUGCUCAAAACAUUUGACACUAUUAAAUUAGUCAUUUGACAUAAUGUAUAUGAUGUUAUCCAAUACCCUAUGUUUGUUGCAUAAGUAUAGUCUCCUUACACAUGGGUUCAAUAAAUUGAGAAAAUGAAUAAACGGUGAAGUUUGAACAAAUGAUUUCCAACCAAAAAAAGGAUCUUAUGCCAUGUUGGACAACCGAUUUACCUAAAACUUAAGUUGUUAGGAUUUAAGCCCACGGUGUAUAUCAUGUUGCCCAUCAGUAUCUAUAUCCAACGAAAGGUCAAGAACCUCCUUGAAACGAUCCUAUUCUAACUUGCCCCUAGCUGCCAAACCCUCAAGGGCAUUAGCCUAAGGGCACAAAGUCAAUAUAGCUCAAGAACCUUCCUGAGAUGUUCCUAUUCCAGCUGACCCUAGCGGCUAGAUCUUCAAGGGCAUUAGCCUAAGGGUGCAAAGUAAAAACCAAGUUUGAGAACCUCCUUGAAAGGACCCGAUUAUAAUUGGUCCCUGGCAGCUAGGCCUUCAGGGACAGAGCAUAUGAGUGUAAAGCCAUUCCAGGACAAGAACCUCCUUAGAAGGACCCCAUCACAAUAGACCCCUAUUGGAGCCUAAGAACAAAAAAUGAAUAAUCAUAUGAAGAAAUAAUAAAACAAAGCAUAAAAGAUAGAAGAGAAGAUAAAAAUAACAAUAUCCUAUGCCACCUCAUUGUCCCCUCCUUCCUUGGAUGAUGCCUCGCUUUUAUCAUUGUCCUCCUCAUCGAUUUCCCCCAAGGCCUUCAUUCGACCCAUGAGCUUGUCGACUUUCAAAAAAUGCUCUUGCAUUAUUGAACCUUAUGAAUAAAAUUAUCUUUUACCACUGUCCACAAAUGAUUUUUUUUUUAAAAGAAUGGCUUUGUCUUAGAGUUCUAUCCUUUUCUUUCUGUUUCUCAUGGAUAAAAAAAACCCCAACCCAAAUAUUUUUUUAUAACAAGGAUAAUUUUUUAUACCUAAAGAAUUAAAAUCGACUUUCAAACACCUAAGCGUUGAGACUCAACUCAAUCCAACCUCAGUCAAUUAACAUGGAUCCAGCAAGAAAAGAUUGUUCAUCCUCAAUGAAUAUUGUGAAGAUGGAAUGUUCUUCCAUGCCUUUUCAACACUCUCAACAUUUCUAAAGAUGGUAUUACUACAUCAUGCGCAAAGGAUAAAGGAAUUACCGACAAAUUAUUACAAAUUCCAAUAAUAAAAAUCAUAGGAACUUGUAUUUGCAAAGAAGAGAUGGAAAUAGAAAGAAGAAAAGGAGAGGAAGAGAUUUCGUCAAUUUGGACGACUUUACCUUGACAUUUCCAGCUUCUUUGAUGGCGGCAAUGAUCUUGACUUGAUCCGAGAACUGUGCGCGACCAACGGUCGAGAUGACCACAUCCACUUGCUUAAUCGCCUUCACCAAACUCUCGUGAUCGUGUAGAUCUCCCUGCAACAUAACAGAACCAAUCAAAAAACUAUUUCAAAGCUGUAAUUCUUCAAUAAGAAGUAAGAAUUCAAAAAUUGGUGUGUGUUUCCACUUUGCUGGAACCAAAGCAAAUCAAAACAUAAACAUCCAAAAUUUUCUUUUCUUUUCCUGCGAAACACUACUUUUUCUUUCUUUCUGGAUGAGUGAAGAGUCUCAGUUUUCUUUUUCUUAGGAACUUAAACUUCCAACUCCAAUGAACUUCGUUCAUUUUCUCCGCGGCCAAAAGAAACAAAAACUAGAAAAGAAAAAAUGGCGAGAAAUGAGAGCGAACAGUACGUACAUAUACCAAAGUCACGCCGGAACUCUUGAAACUCUCAAUGAUUUCCGACAUGGAAGGAUUCGAAACGGUGGAUUCUCUGACGAGAGCGAAGGUAGGGUGACCGGACCUAGCGCUGGCAGCGACGAUGAAUUUUCCGAUGUAUCCAGUGCCGCCGAUGAUGAGAAUCUUGCUCUUUUCGGACAUUGUGAGUUUUUCCGACCAAUCUCCGGCAAGAAAUGUGGAAUUGGAAAAGGCUAGCAAGCAGUAAGCAAUGACGACUGACGAGUAGUGCAGUACUGCAGUGUUCUUAUAUAACAAAGCUUGAGGCUAUAUAGAUUAUGUAAUUACGAAACUAGCCUUUUCUUUCAGCAGUAAUUCCCGCUUUGGUCAUCAUAUGUAUGUGGCUCGAUCUUUGUAUGAUUCACGUGUCCCGAUUCAUAUUUGUUUGAAAAUCGGCUUAGAUUAGUCCAAUUUACAAGACUACACCAUCUUUAAUUUGACAAGAGCAUAUAAUAUAUAUAUAUAUUGUAGCAAUCAUUAAUAUUUUAUUUUAUUUUUGGCACGUGUAAUUUUAUCUCUAGCUCCCAUAUCUUAUUUUAUUGCACACUUUUGACUCCGUUUGGCCAUAUUGAUAUAUAUCAUAGAUUUGCCUUAGAUUUUGGUUAAUAAAAUUUUAAUCAUUAUUGCACGUUUUUAUUCUCCACCCAUGUUUAAUAGUAUAUUUUAGAGACUUAUCGUGGAUAACCACCCCUUCACCUCUCCUACUGAAUUGUCAUUUGAUAUUGCUUGGGGAUCCCACAGAGUUGUCUAGUUGAUAGGUUGAUAAAAUUUACAUGCACGGUCAUUUUCAUGUCCUUAAAGCAAAUACAAAUUAAAAUGUGAUCGAUUGAUGCUAAGAUUUGAAUUUAUCUAUUUAAUAUAAAAUUGUCAUGGUCAAAUGUUUAUUGCUACUCCACGAUAGAAUGAUGAUUUUUAUUUUUGUGACAGUAACAUUUCAAAUUAUAAAAAACAAUGAAUUAAACAAUAUUUUUAUAUUCUUUACAAAAUCUUGGAUGUUUAAAAUUAGACCCUUUAAAUAGACACGUGACUUAAAUGGAAUACCAUAUUUGGGAAUGCACUACACUUAACUUGGAUUGGAAUAUAAUUCAAAAUGGAUAACAAUUAGGAAUGCACCAUGCUUAUUUGGAAUUAAGGGAGAGAGGGAUGACUGUUGGAAUCAUGAAAUGUUAUGGAACGGACCCCUUUUUAAAGAUGUAGAUGUCCCUUAAAGAAACGCUUCCAUCAAAAGAGUUGCACCUAACUAAUAAGAGAUGGGAAUGACUUCCAAAAAAUGUAUCACUUCAUGUUGGUGGCCUUUUUAUUAAACCUAGAAGCAUGUGGGGUUAGGCUCACACAUAUCUGGUGUGGCUUGUGCACAUGUGAGCCUAUGUUAGGCCCAAGUCCACAUUCAUCUAGUUGGAUAUAUGCAUAUGUGAGUUUAUGUAAAAACCCAUGUUUUCUUUUAAGCUUACAAAAUACUUGUAAAGUACCUUUUCGACUAGUGAUCUUCUAAGAAACGCUUCCAUCAAAAGAGUUGCACCUAUCUAAUAAGAAAUGGAAAAGGCGUCUAAAGAAGAUCUCACUUUAUGUUGUUGGUGACCUUUUUUCAAUGUUUUUAAAAUUGGACCGAUUAUUAAAUAUAAAAAAAUUACUCAUUCACGGUUCAUUAAUCGGACUGACAGUUGAACCAGUAACGUCAUAAAUAUAUAAUUUAUAAAUUAUUAAAAUAAAAAUAAAAAUGUAUGUAUUGUUUAAAAAUUAAAAUUUUAUUUGAAAAUCAGAAAAUUAGUUUUAAAAUUAAAAUUAAAAUUAAAAUCAUGGGGGGGAGGGGGAGGGGAGGGGGUUCGUUCUGCCAGUGAGAGAGCGACGUCCGACCAAUCAGCAAUUGACGAUAGUGGGAAGAAGCAGCUAGGGUAGUAGGGUAAGAGGGGUUAUUGGAAAAAAUAAUAAUAAUAAAAGAAAGGUUGAACGGUUCAAUGGUCAAAUCGUCGGUUCAAUCGGUCUAAUUCUGGUUUGACUACUUUUCGACCUAAUUCAUCAAACCAAACCGAAAUUGUGACUUGCUGGUUCGAUCCAAUUUUUAAAACCGUGUAUUUUUAUUAAACCUAAAAGGUGGGUGUAGGAUCACACCUAUCCAAUGUGGCUUGUGCACACGUGAGCCUAUGUUACGCCCAUGUACACAUUCAUCCAAUUAGGUCCAUGCAUAUGUGAGUUGAGGUUAAAAACCAUGUUUUCUUUUUACCUUACAAAAUACUUAUAAAGUACUUUUUCUGACUACUAAUCUUCUAAUGUGGGAUUGCUUUUUUCCACCACAUUCCACAUGAAUGCAUAGGUAACUUUGAGCUCAAUUUGUCAUUAACCCAUAAAUGGUUUUGAGUAUGUAAAUUUCUUAUCCACCAAUACCUACUCGUGCAGACGUUAUUGGUUAUCAUUUGGAGAAAGGUGUCCAACCUAUUGAUUGUUGUAAUUUAGAUUGUCCCAAUUCUAAUAGUUGUGGUUUUAAGGCCUAGAAUUGUUUCGUUGAUUCUCAUCUUAACCCUUCUCUUUAUUCAAUGACUUCCCUUGAAAGUAUUAUUUGAUGAUCUCCUAUCAGGGGGUUGGUCUCUUUCUUAUCUUCUCUUCUUUUUAAAUAGUCCAUUACCUUAUCAUGCAAUUCUUUAAAUGAGAUAGCAGUAUCACAAGCUCUCACAACAACAGUGGUCUCUUUGUAUUUUGAACCUAAUUCAUUGAGAGUGUAAACCACCAGAUCAUCAUUGUGCAAGAGUGAACUAAUAAUAGUAAGUUCAUCAACAAUACUUUCGAAGAUUUGGAUGUAUUCACUAAUAGUUUUUUGUUCUUUGAUCGUUUUUAUAGCCUUUCCCAUGAGGUUAGGAUGCAUGACCUUGAGUAAUUGGCAUUAAGUUUUUUUGGGUGAGACCAUGACUCUAAUGCCUUAGUAGCACAAACCACAAAACAAAAAUAGACUCCAAACUACAAUCUAACAUGAGAUGAAAUAACAAAUUAUUUUAAGGUUAAUUUUGUUGACUUUCCAUGAGGUUUUGACUAAAUAUAUUUAGUUCAUAUUAGUUUGAAAUUUCAUCAAAUACCUCCUCUACCCUUCUCACAAAUUAUUUCACUUACCUGUCUUCUAACUCAAAAUAAAGGAAGUAUUUGACGAUAUUUUAAAUUUAUAAAAACUAGGUAUAUUUAACCAAAACUUGAGGGAAAGUAAGUGAAAUUAACCUAAUUAUCUUACUUUUAAUAUAGCCAAUAUUCCAUAUCUCGUAUUGGUACUUUCCUUCUCCUUUCAAAUUGUUGUAGAAGGGCAAAGAUAUGACCGUUGUUACAUGUGCUAAAUCAUAGUAGUAUAUAAAGAAGCAUGCGGAACUAAACUCUUCACAAUGGAAAGUUUUUAAUCGUAGUUACAUCACUACAUCAAUCAACUCUGUGGUGCUAAUUUGGUAAAAUGUCAAAAGACUUUGACCCAUUAAAGGUAAAAAAGAAUAAAAAUAAAAAUUUGUUGUAGCAAUGGAUACUCUAAAACCAUAAAUACAAAGAAUUUAUAUAACCUAUCACUCGUAUUAUUUUACAUUGUAUAAGUUUACAAUAGAAAUGAUCGACUAAAUAUACAUUGGUAAUAUUAUAGCUUAGGGUCAAAUGUCAUGCGUUAUGAAUGUAAAGAAAAAUUGAACUUGAUGAUUUGGUUGAGCCUUUAUUUGCCAUUAAUAUAUGCCUUUAUGGACUGUCCACUGUAAAUUCCUUUCACUCCUCUCAUUGAAGAAUGAAACUCCACACUUUAUUCAAGUUUAAAAUGUUUUCUUGCAUAUUAAGGAGGAAAUUAAAAAAUAAAUAAAUAAAUAAAGGAAAGGAAAAUGAUCCGUUAAAAAACUAUAUUAUGAAUGUUAGAUAUCUUAAAAAACAAAAAAAUAUAUAUUUGUAGACCCCAUUUUGGGGAGCUGUCAUUUUUCUCACGUUUCCUUUCUUGCAGCUAGCUGUGGCCAAGUGUCACCAUCUUGCAUGGCCACGUGUCACUCCCGGAUUAGUCAAUAUGGGAUCAAAAUAGUGGAAUUGAUGGACCCAUCAGAGGAAGACACCUGGAAAGUGAAGAACAUUCUGGAAUCAGGGGAGCGUAUCUUCUGUUAUGGGAAGGUUGCCAGCUGCAGGAGUAGAGGAGUGGAGGCUGGUUGCUGCAGAGAGAGUGGAGGCUGGCAGAGGAGUGGAGGAGAGGUUUUGCUUUUGAAAAGGCCGUUAGAGAUAUUUUUAGGAUGAGGCAGCGGCAUUGAAGGGGAGAGUUUGGAGAGAUUCUUGAGGAGCAAGCUAGAUAUUGAAAAGAGAGAACGAGACAGAGAGAGCUGCAUUGAGAGGGAGGGAUUUCUUUUAAGCUGAGGCUGGUUGCUGCAGAGAGAGUGGAGGCUGGCAGAGGAGUUUUGGAGAGAAAGAGAAGGGUUUUUGGAGAGAAAGAGAAGGGGUUUUGGAGAGAAAGAGAAGGGUUUUUGGAGAGAAAGAGAAGGAGUUUUGGAGGGAACAGAGAGCUAGAGGGGGAGGAAAAACACUAGGAAGAAAAACAGAGAAAUCAGAAGAGACGGUUUUGGGUAGAGGAGGUUAUCAAGAACCAGAAGAAAAGGGCCUCCAGGUUCUUUUUGAGGGGUAAGUUUUCCACUGUGUUCUUGUUCUUUCUUUUUCUCUUCAUAUAUUGUUGUUGAGAUGCAUUGUUGUUGAUCUUUGGAUGGGUUAUACUCUGUUCUUCAUGGUUGACUGCUCCCCUUUUGCUUCUGUUUAUGGCUGAAAAUUGAUUUAAAUCCAUUUUUACCUUCUUUGUGGCAUUUUAAAGAAAGAAAAAGACCUUUUAAUUCACCCAUCUGCAAACCCACUAAUGAAGAGGUGAAGCAUAGUUCUUCAUGCUUCAUCUCAUUUUUCUUCCUCCAUGGCUCUGUUUUUGCUACUUUUCUCUCUGCUCUUCGUGUUUGGACUUUCUUGGAUAUGAAGCCGUAAUGGGGAGUGAGGCUAUGGGAUGACGAGACAGUGAGGGAUUUGGACUCCUUGAAUCCGUUUAUCCUGUAAAGGCUACUAAGGGCUUGGUAGAUCAAUGUUUGAGCAUAUGAACAGAGAGUGGUCUACACCGGGGAUACCAUUAUUGCCAGUGAUCCGUGUGGCAGAGGUUAGUGGGCUGUAGAGAGGGGAUCCUUUCUGACGGAGCAAAGGAACAAGAGAUGAAUUCAUGGGUUUUCUGAAUUGUUUUCACUAAGAAGGAGUUCACCCAGUACUCUUAGGCCUAAGAAGCUCGGCAUUUCUUUGCAAACAUAAGAAGCACAGGCUGGAACUAUGGAGGCCAUAGGUUUUACAUGGUAAAAAAGUGGGUUGACUGAGGAAUUGAGAAAGAAAUAAAGCAAGCAAAGCCGUCAUCGAAUGACGCCGGCGGCGAAGCGCCUCCACUUUGACUACGUCGUGCCCUCAGUUAUCGACUCUAACCACCGCUUCUCUAGUCUACGCGUGUCGCCGGAAGACUUGACGCUGAUCGUUUCUCUGCCUCUCUUUAUUUUCGGCUCUGUCAGGGGUCGAAACUCAUCCUCCGCUGGCGAUUGCGACGAGUGUCUCUCCUAGCUUAAGCCUCACGAUCAGCUUCGGCUGUUCCUGAUCUGCCGUCACGCUUCCCAUGCUCUAUACAUCAACACGCUGCUGGCAUCCAGUCAGGCAUGUCCUUGUAUCGUGUUCCGCAGGGAAUUCUGGGCCUGAUCUGCUCACUGUGGUGAGUGUCGCGCCAUGGAUUUUAACUGAUGGUGUCCCGACGAUUGACAAGAAGUUUUCCGGUGGAUGUGGUUCUUGGCGACGGAAGAAUCUUCGGUGGUGUGUCUAUGUACUUCGGCGAUCCUCUAAAGGACACUAAUCUCCCCAUUAGUUUACGCUGGUGACUGUGGAAGCAGAUUCCGCUUCAUCGGAAAACCCAAUCCUUCUCAAGUGCCUGGAAAAGCAGUCAUUUGUGAUCGGAACUUCACCUCGGCGCCCAAAGUCGCAGCGUUCUCCAACUGGUUUAGACAUCGACGAGAGACAAGUUGAUUUUAAUAUAAUUUCUGGCACGUCCAUUGCAUGUCCGUACGUGAGUGGAAAUAGCGACUGUGGCAGUGUACCCAAACGGCUUCACCACUCUCAAGCAUGAUGCUCUGAGAGUUGAAUUGAAAUGGAGGGGCGUUCUCAUAUUGCAAUUGUUGUUCCUAGAACUGAUGAGUCAAUCAGUAAAUUGGUUCAGCAACCUCAGAAGUUAAUAGAUCUCCGUGAGGUUCGCGAUAUUACUCAUAUGCCAUUUGCAGAAAGAGAUGACUGAAGGGAAACGGGUUCCUCUGAAUAUUACUAAAUUUGAUUAUGAAUGUUUGAGAAAGACCGCUGACAGUCAAGCAUAUUAAGGGGAUCCAUAUAAAGAAUUGUGGGUGUCCUUUGUUGACCGAGUUGGUCUUAGUCACAGAUAUCCUCAUCCAUGGCUGCUGAUAUAUCUCCUAAUUCUUCUUGAUGCUGCGGAAGAUAUUGUUGAAAUAGGAAAAACUGGGUGGAGAGAUCAAUUGUUACUCUGAUUUGAUUUUGGAUUGAAAAGGGAUGGGUUCAUUCAUGGAGCAUGUUCUGCCAGGAACGCUGUUUCUAGCAGUGAGUUUGUGGCACAUAUGCAGCGCAGUGGUGAGAUUUGUGAUGAACCCAAAGGGGUUUCAGGUUCGGGUUUUGAACCCAGUGUCUGGUUUUGAUGGAAGGCUUAGAUACUUGGAGCUUUAUGUGGUGGCAAUCGGAGCUUUUAUUGAUAUGUGCAUAGAGUUUUUGUAUUCAACUCAUCUCAAGUUCUUUGUGAAUGGGGUCUUGAACCCAUCUCACACGAAUGACUUUGAGCACUCUGGGAUGCUUCUCAUGUUCUUUAUUUUCGGGGUCGUCGCCUUGUUCUCCCAGCAAACCGGGCUUGUUCAAAACUGAAUAACCAAUGCUCAAUAGCCUUCACAUAGCUCCAUUCUGCCCUCACAUACUUCCAGCGCGUGACUUGUUUGAAUGAGAGCGACUUUUAUUGCCAAACAGUUACUUGGGGAACCGGUGACGUUACUCCUAUUGCAGGAUUGCUUGGCAAAUCUCAAUUCCAGAUUCACUUAGGAGGGAUCCUUGGCUGCUAAUUGGAAGGCUUCAAGACAGAAGGAAGCGAAGAGUGAUGAUACCAGGGAAGUGACUCAAUUAUCUACUCUACACUUGCCCGCUCAUGGCCCCAAAAUCUCAGAAGUGGUCAAGAAGUUGGAAGACUGCAUGUUCUGAAAUUGACCUAGCCUUUCAAAUCGGGUUCCCUACAUUGAAAUAAGAAGCAGUAGCAUGAGUUAUCCUCCAGAAUGGCUCUAUUCUCUGCAUGGUGCAUGGCCACCUUUGGGCCACAGUGCCAUUUCCCAUUUCACCAUCUCUAAUUUUGAAAAAUAUUCUUUUAAAUCCCAUUCUUCAAAUAAUUUUCUAGAUUUUAGUUUGUUUUAAAAUAAUUUCAAACUCGUCCACUUUUCAUCUUUAGUUUCUUUUUCUUAGAUUCCAAAAAUCCAUUUUUCCAAUAAAAUUUUGCUACCACUUUUCUUCCUAGCAAGCCAUUUUCAUAUCUCUUCUGUUUUUUUUAAAUUGUUUUGAAAUAAGCAAGAAUUAAUUCCGUAAUUCCGAAUAAUGGAAUUUAUGGAAUUAAUUCAUGCUAAGAUAAAUGGGCUUUGGUGGGGGCCCAACAUAUGAGAUUUUAUGAUUGAUUGACUGAUUGAUUGAUUCAUUAGCUAUAUGUGAUUGAUUUAUUCUGUUCCUUGGUAUACACAUUAUCCUUCUGUGUUUGUUCACUAACCCUGUUUCUGAUAGCACGUUACGGCUCGUGGCCCCGGUACGCACUCUCUAUACCUAUUCUGUUUCUCAUAUGUGCAUAAUUGAUUCGAGUAUUCAUUGCUUUCCUCAUCAAUUGCCACAUCAGCUUCAUUUUAUUAGUAGAGACCCGAUUUUAGGGACUUAGAGGGGUGCUAUGGUCUUUACCGUACCUUCCCGAUAAGUAACCUGACCCCCGAACCCGAUCCGGUUUUUCGUAGAUCACCUUUUCCAAAUAAGGAGUCACACUUAGGGUUUUUCUUUCUUAUUUUGUUUACCCUUUUAAAAAUAAAACAAAAAUACAGCUAAAAUCGAGCUCGCCAUUGAGUGGGAAACGCAUUGAGAUAGAUCGAAAUGCGGGGUCCACAACGCGUUCUUUUAUUCUCUUUAGUUUUAUAAAAAAGAUGGUAAAAAUGUAGUGAUCUUCUUUUAGUUUCUGUUUUAUAAGUGAGAGGGGACUAAGAUAGUAUUUAUUUUUUGACUGAAUAUAAAAAAUCAAAAUAUAUACAAAUUUACUUUAAUUAUAUUGGACGAUGUUAAUAGGUUACUUUUAGCUAAAUAAAAAAAAAAUCAAAACCUUAGAAAAAUAUUUUAAGUUUUAUUUACUCAAAUCAAUGUUUCCAAAAAUAUCCUUAUUGUCAAAACUGACUUAAAUGAAAAAUAAAUAAAAAAAUAUAAGCAAAAAACAAUUUAAUAGUUUUUAAAAAUAUUAUUAAAUCAUCAUUUGGUUCCCUUUUAUUCUGUCACUUUAAUUCUUUAAAACUAAAUUUAAUUCUUUUAUAACAAUAGAACAUAGGGGCCUAAGGUUGGAAAAUGACAAUUUACCCUAUUUGAAAAAAGAAAAAUUAUAUAUUCAUUUCUAGCCAAAAACAACUUUAUAUGUAAUUGUCAUUUUUUAUCAACCCCCACCGCUGAUGCAAAAGCCUUAACCUUGAAUGGAAUUUUAAUUUCAAAGACAUUUAGCACAUAGGAUAAAAAUUGUGCAUUUCAAUGAUCAAAGCUUCAUAUCUUAAAAGGUAGGUAAAUUUUAAAAUUCAACUAAGUUAUGUCUUCAAAAGACAAUAUUUAAUUGGAUUCUUUCGAGGUGUCAUAGAAUUAGAAAUAUUUUUUGAAUUAUUAUAUUUUAAAAAAUAUAUUUUUUUAAAUUGCCUUACUUUGUUCAAAAUGCCAAGAAGCAGGCAUAGGAACUAUAACAAAGCUCCAUCUCUAUUAGGGUACCAGAGAGGAUGAAUUGAAAAGGCUAGGAAAAUCUAAUUCCAGAAACUUCUACUUGCAUAAGAUACAGAGUGACUACAGAAUAUGCUCAAUGGCAUAGACAAGGAGGCCACACAUGCUUGCUUAUUUAGAUGGUGCAACAUGACAAUGAAAACUAGCAGGACCAGAAAUUACCUCUCACACAAACUGGUCAAGGUACUCAUCCACAGUUGUGUAUUUGACAUCGGGAUAUAGCUCUGAAGCCUCCACUCCAAAUGAUGGCUUGAUCUCAAAGUUGGUGUGGUCUCCCUUAAUGAAAACAGAGUGACUGAUAGAUAAUAUCACAUUGAGUGGAAAAGAGGCUUCUGCAAGAAACACAGGAAAAGCCAUUAAUUUGAAGAUAUUUGUCAUCAUUAAGAUUAUGUUUGGUUUCCAAAAAAUUUGAGGGAAAAUGCAAGAAAAGAAAAUAGAGAGGAAAAGUGGAAAGAAAAAAAAAGAAAAAAAAUAAAAAAAAUGGAUUCAAAAUCAAUAAAUUAUUUUUAAAUGCUAUUUCAAACUCAUUUCACCCAUUUCCCCCUAUUAUAUAAAGAUUAAACAAUUUUAAAAUGUAUAAAUUUUUAAUUAAUUUUAAUUAUAAUUUAUUUUCUUUCAUAUUUUCUAUAAUGAAACCAAGCAUGAGAAAACUAUUUUCUUUAAUAUUUUUUUUAUUUCCUUAAUACUUUCCGAGAGCCAAACAUAGUCUAAAAGAUCAACUAUAUAAACAGGGGCCAAAAAAUGGCCUCAAUGGUAAAAAAAUUAUCCUAUGUAGGAACCUUCCCAAACUUAUUUUUCAAACUAGAACUCUUGAUGCCAUCUACGCCCCAUUUUUAUUUUAUUUUUUUCCUUUUUAGUCAUAAGUUGAAAAUGCAUUUCUGAUUUUAUAAAGAAGUCAAAUUUUGAGCAAUGGUUUGAAACAUGACCCAAACUCAAUAUUAUUUGACCAAAACAGGCCUUUUUUUUAUCCAAAAUUCAUAUAAACACGUAAUGCUUGCAAGUUCAACCAACUCCUCUUUCUUUCUUUUCUUUUAUUCCCUUCAUUUUUCAAAUCCAUUGAGCAACUGCAAAUUGUUAGUCUGUCAUAUGAAUCUCUAAGGAAGACCCUAAUUGAGGUCUGGGGCACGAUCAAAUGAUUUUACCAGCAGGCCACCUAAUAUUUUCUAAGUUAAAACAAUUGAAUCAAGAACCAAUUUCAUUUUAACAAGGUAGCAUAACGAGAAUGUUUCAUUCCCAAUCUCUAUUCCAAUUUAAAUUAACUAGGAAAACCAAAGUAUGAACACUUUUAAAAAAAGAAAAUAUUUCUCACUAACCUUGGAUGUUCUUCAGAACUUGCUCCUCUGGAACAUAAAUCUUCUCAAGGGUUUUUCCAAUCUUCUUUUCCCAUAAGGAGAGAAUUUCGUUGAAUGAGUAGGUGUUCUGAGGAGGCCUGAUGUAAAGGAUUUUGUUCAAGGCUCUAGGAUCAUCCGCAGCUUUAAUAGUAUAGGUGCCAAUGUCAUCCUCCUUGUUAAAAACAGCUGGAGAUGCAAAAAUGAAAUGAGUAAAAUAAAGUAGAAUCAUCUUCUCAUUCCUUCAAGCUUGGACUACUUGGAAAUUCCACUUUUUUUGUUUGAAGAACACAAACUUGAAAUUAUUUUGAUGUGAAACCAAGUUAUUCUUUUUCAUUUAAUGCUUAUGUCAAAAACUCUCAGCUGGAAAGCAACCCAAGAGGACUGUCAAUAUAAAAAAGAGGCUUUAGCCCAUCCAGUUCAGUUUAAAAUCAAAUAAUAAUGAUUAAUUACUAAAAAUGCAUAAUGGUCCCUUCAGUUCAACCACUCCAGGCCACAUGGAUCAUGCUAGUUUCCUGGAUUAUGGCUCACUUGUAAUGUAGCACCCAAGCAGUUGACCUCAACUGUUGGAAGGUUUUGUUUCUGGGUGAACAGGUUUAACCAGCUGGGGAAGGGGGGAGUGGAGAGGGGUUGUCCAGGUUUCAAAUAGCCACAUUCUGAUUUUCAGGAAUACGGACCAUUCUCACCUCAACAACACUGGCAAACCCAUCAAUUUUUCUGCCUGGAGAAGAUAAUAUGCAGCUAUUGGUUGGUGAAAUGGUAAAUUAACACUCUCAAAAGGAUCCCAUGCUCAUUUACAUAACCCACUGAUUAGUAUUACUUUUUAAGCCCACUAUCAUCAGAUGUCACUGAUUAUAUGAGCCAGUGCAUUCUAACAUCAAAAGGAGAAAAUGCAAUGGGAAAUUCAGUUGUUGGAUGAUUUUCAGAGGUUGCUUACCUUUUGGAUUCCCAUCUCCCAAAAUAAUAACUUUAUCCCUGGGGGGAGCGGUGGCUCCAGGCUGUGAUAAUGUAGGAAGGAAAAAGCCAGCAAAGAAGUUGGAGGACACAUAGGUGUAGGGAAUUCCUUCAGCCUCAAUAGUUCGGCGGAUUUGAGCCUUUAUCUCAAAUGCUGUUUUUGCUGGCCCAACCGCAUGGACACGGUCCACAUCAUUUCCAAACUCUGAUGGGAAGAAUCUCUGGAUGAAAUAAAACACUUUAAGAAGUAGCUGUAUAACUCAAUAGAUUGAAAAACCAGUCAUAUCUAUUUAGUCAUAUUAGCUCACAAACAGGGAUCCCAUAUGGGAUACAAGUGUUCAAAUAAAGACAUAAAAUUAGCAAUUCAUAUUAUGGAAGGAAAAAGUGCACUGAUCAGGAUGCUUAAAAAGUGAAAGAAAAAACCUAAGUAAAAAAUGGGAAGAAAAAAACUACUAAAUUUCAUUCAUAGAAGGAAAAUGCUUACUAAUCAAGAUGCUUAAAAAAUGGAAGAAAAAAAACUAAGGCUAAAUUUGGCUCCGGUUAAGUACUAAGAAGGGAAAAAAAAAAUUAAAUAAAAUGGUUUUCUCAUGUUUGGUUUCACUAUAAAAAAAUAUAAAAGAAAAUAAAAUAUAAUUAAAAUUAGUUAGAAAUUUAUGUAUAUUUAAUCUUUAUAUAAUGAAGGGAAAUAAGUGAAACAACUAUGAAGAAACACAUAGAAAUAAUUUAUUAACUUUAAACCCAUUUUUUAUUUUCCUUCUACUUUUCCUCUCUAUUUUCUUUUCUUUGCAUUUUCCCUCAAAUUUUCCAAGGACCAAACAUAACCUAAAUGAAAACGGGAGGAUAUAGUUUGUUAGGUGCUUCUAUGUUAAUAUAGUCUGUUUUUAGUCUAUGAAAAAAACCAUGGGUUACUAUGGAUUGGAAGUGGUAUAGCAUGGCCCAUUAAAGGGAAUUAUUAUUUAAAAUAUUUUCCUUUUUACGUAAAAAAAAUUAAUAUUGAUUUUAAAGCAUCUCAGAGUUGAGACUCAACUCAAUCCAACCUCUGUCAAUUCAUAUGUAUCUAGAAAGAUUGUUGAUCCUCAAUGAAUAUCAUGCAUAUGAAAUGUUCUUUCAUGCACUUUCAACAUUUCGAAAGGAGGUAUUAUUACAUUAUGCACAAAGGAUAAAGAUAUCACCAACAAAUUAUGACAAAUUCCAAUAAUAAAUAUCAUAGUACUGGAUUUGCAAAGAAAAGAGGGAAUUAGAAAGAAGAAAAGGAGAAAAGGAGGAGAGAAAUUUCGUCAAUUUGGACAACUUUACCUUGACAUUUCCAGCUUCUUUGAUGGCAGCAAUGAUCUUGACUUGAUCCGACAACUGUGCGCGACCAACGGUCGAGAUGACCACAUCCACUUGCUUAAUCGCCUUCACCAAACUCUCGUGAUCGUAUAGAUCUCCCUGCAACAUAACAUAACCAAUCAAUCAACUCUUUCAUAACUCUAAUCCUCCAAUUGAAAGGUAGGAAUUCAAGACAGGGUGUGUUUUUUUCACUUUGCUGAAACCAAAACAACUUGAAAGCAUAAACAUCCAAACUUCUCUUCUCUUUUCUUUUCUUUUCAUGCGGAUCCGUACAUUCCCUUUUCUUUCCGGAUUAACGACGAUUUUCAGUUUUUGUUUCUUCGGAAACUUAAACAUCCGAGAAUGCUAGAACUCCAAAUUGACUUUACUCAUGUUCUCGGCAACCAAAAUAAGUCAAAAUUAGAAAAGAAAAAAUGACCAGACAUAAGAGCGAGUAGUACGUACAUAGACCAAACUAACGCCGGAGCUCUUGAAACUCUCGAUGAUUCCCGACUUUGAAGGAUUAGAAACAGUGGAUUCUCUGAUGAGAGCGAAGGUAGGGUGACCUAACCUGGCGCUAGCAGCUACGAUGAAUUUUCCGAUGUAGCCGGUGCCUCCGAUUAUGAGAAUCUUGCUCUUGUCGGACAUCGUGAUCCCUCCCGGCCAAUCUCCGCGAGAAAUGUGGAAUUGAAAAGACGGCGUGAAAGAUGGCGCCCAGACGAGUAAGCACUAAGCACUAAGCACUGAUGAGCAGAGCAGAUAUAGAACUACAUGCUAUAAGAAUGUGUAAUUACAGAACUAGCCUUGUGUUUUAGUGGAAAUUUCUGUUUUGGUUAUGAAAUUUAUGAGUGCGUCCAUGUUCAUCUCAUUGAAAAUGGGUCCAGAUUAUUAAUUUGAAAGCAAUAUUUUAAUAAAAUAAAUUUAAGAAUUUUAAUUCAAACAUCUAAGAAAAAAAUAAUUUCAUGUGUACUUUGAAAGAAUAUUGAUAGAAAAAUGAAAAAGAGAGAACAAUCUAAAAGAGAAAAUCGUGUGACGGAGGGGGUUAGGUAGAAGGUGACAACUGACAAGAACGCAUCUUGAACUCCACCAAACACAUAUGCUUUGAUUCAGCCCCACAAACCUUCACCAAACUUUUACGUACAAGGUUCUUUUAUUUUCCCGUGUCUAUCCAUUUACUUGAAUGGAUAGAAAUUUUAAUAUGCAAAUUAUACGCCUGACUUCACAAUUUUAGUUUCUACAUUUAACAUGAGUAAAAUAAGGAGUUAUGUCCAAUAAAACCUGCUUAAUAUUAGGUGAGCUAGUGAAAAAUGAUGGUCCAAAAAGGAAAAGUUUUUCCUUUUUUAUUUUAUUCCUUAUAAUUAUAGUAAAACUUUUCCCAUUAUUAGAUUUUUUUUUUUCCUUUAUUCUCUGGUAAAAUAUUUUUCUUUUCUUUUCUUUUUUUUUUUCUCAAUUUUCCAUUUUUAAGAAAAGUUUUUUUCCCUUUAUUCUCUAUAGCUUUACAAGGAGAUGGUAAAACUUUUUCCUUUGUGUCUUUUUCAAUUUUCCCUUUUUAAGAAAAGUUUUUUUUUUUCUUUUAUUCUCUAUAAAGCUAAGUGAAACUUUUCCCUUCUUCUUUCUCAAUUUUUGGUAAAACUUUAACUUUCCCUUUUCCUUUUCAAUUUUUGGCAUAUUUUUCCCUUUUUCUUUUCCAAUUUUUGGCAUAUUAUUCCCCUUUUUCCUUUUCAAACUUUCAUAUUAUUAUUCAAUUUUUGGUAAAAUCUUUUCCGCAUUUUUAAUAUUAUUAUUAUUAUUUCAAUAUUUUCCCACUUUUCUUUUCACAUUAUUCCCCUUUUUCUUUUUCAAUUUUUUUCUCUUUUUCAUUUUCAAUUAACAUAAGUGGAGUUAUGUCCAAUAAAAUCUACUUAAUAUUAGGUAAAGUUCUUUUUUUCCUCUGUUCUCUAUAAUUUUAUAAGGAUAUGGUAGAACAUUUCCCUUUUUCUUUUUCAAAUAUUCAUAUUUUUCUAUUAUUAUUAUUAACACAUGAUUAGAGGUUAUUGAAUGUGGUUAAAGAUCAUCUGAGGUGUGUAUAAGCAUGUCGUAGAUGGGUUAAAAAGCAAUAAUAAAUGAAACAUUUUUAAACAUGAUGUUCCAUAAAAGUACUAAAAAAAAGAAAAAAAUCAAAAUAUUUUUUUUUUCAUGUUUGACUUAUCAUAAAAAAUACAAAAAAAUAUUAAAUUUUUACUCUUAUUUUCUUUCCCCAAAAUUUUCCAAUAAUCAAAUAUAGGGAUGACUCCUCCAUUUUUCUCAACAGUAAUCAAGAAAAUCUCACUUCUUCUCUUAUAAUUUCCACAAAUUAUUUAGAUAAUCUACAUUAUUUUGCCAGCAUGUGAAUCCCUUGCCCCACAGCCUUUCAUGAGAUGGAAGAUGAAAACAUAACAGGAGAAUAAUUUAUAAAGUAGACUUCAAAGGAAGGCCAAAAGUGACAUGGAGAGAAGCAUUAUCAGAAAUAUGCAUAUUCCAUAUUCAUUCCCAUGCCAUUUAUAAAAUUAAUUGCAGUUGCAGAGGGUACCUUUCUGCUCAUUGAAGGCAUCUAUCACCAUUUCUGAAUCUCUCCUCAACUUCAAAAAUAACAACUGCCCUAAACAAAAUCCAUUUGCAAUCCAUCUGUCCUUCAGCUCUACCAACAGAUGCAUGCAACUCAACAAGUUGUUCAAGUUUUCAGUGUUUAAUUUGAAUUUAGAAGUUUCUUGUCGAUCCAUCAAGAAGUGAGGAAAUAAUUAAGGACUAGUUUAUGAAGAACAGAGGUUACUUUUCUUCCAGGAGGGUGUCUAAAUAUUCACUGAUUGUAGUAUAUUUCUGGUGUGGAUACAGUUGUGUCCCGUCAACUCCGCCGGAUGCCUCAAUAUCAAAAUAUGUCUGGUCUCCCUUCACGAAAGCUGAAUAUAUAAAUACCAUAUCCAUGUUGUCUGGAAAUGGAGUCUCUGGCAUGCAAAUAAGCCACAAAUAUUUAGUACAGAACUUCAAACUAGGUAUAAUAUAGUACAGCCAGAAUGGUUCAAGCAAAAUGACAGAAAGAGAGAGGCAUUCUAUUUCUCUCAUUCCAGAACUUGACCAAUAAGAAACCAAAUGCAAUAAGAAAUAACACAUUUUUGCCAUGAAAAAGUCUCAAGAGCAUCAUUCCUUUUCACUGCCAAAAGAUGGAGAUACUAACCCAAGCCCAUGUCCCAACAGUCUUAGAAAUAUAAACAAUUUUUCAAUCACAAAAUGAAAUUGAACCUAUGUUAAGCACUGCUAAGGAAGGGGCUGUGUUCUUCUUCAGCAAUGCCUAAAUAUAGGGCAAGUACCAGCUUCAAAUUAAGAUGUUGAUGCUCAGUAUAAUUGCCAACAUAAUUUAAGGCAUAACAAAAUAAGAAAAGCUAUUUUUUAAAUGUAGCAUGAAAAUGAAACUGUUCCACUUUGUUGUCAAAGCAUUUAACAAGUUUAUUUUUUGUUCUCAAGUUGCAAUACCAUUUAUGAAAAUACCUAUAUGAGGACUUCAUGAAUGACUAUUCCUUCUACCAUAGGUGAAUUUGGUGUAUCUAAGCAAAUUAAAGCUGAAUCAUGCUCAAGGUAAUUUCCAAAUACUUUAUGGAGCUUCAUUUUGGCAAUAAAUGGUAAAUGGCUCUAAGAGAUACUUCCAUUGGGUUUCAGACAGAGGGCAUUUAGGGGGGGUAGAAAGGGAUUUGCUCAGAAAAUUUGAAUUCCAUUGUCUGGAACCAAUAGGUUCUAUUUGAAAAGAAAAUUCCAGAAUUUGCAGAAGUUACAACAAAUUCUGCACAAAGAUGUGGAAUUCAGAAUUGAACUUGAUACUUACAAGAACUUUGCUACUAGCUUAUCUUACCCCUGUUUUUUCUAACGUCAGAAGGCAAAAGGCAACUAUAAAAUUCUUCAUAUUUAAAUCCAAUUACUUUUUUUUUUCCAUUCAUUAAACUUCUUUGCAUAUUUCUAGCAUACCUUUAAUUUUCUUAAGAAGCUCCUCUUCUGUUACAUAAACCUUCUCAAGCUUUUUUCCAAUCUUACUUUCCCAAAGCUCAACCAGCUCAUUCAUGGAGUAAACAUUUCCUGGUGGCCUCAGAUACACCACCUUAUUCAGAGUUCGCGGAUCAUCCACUGCACUAAUGGUGAAGGCAGCAAUGUCACUUUGCUUCACAAAGACACCUGCAGAGAAGGACCCCAUAUAAUACCAUCAAUUACCAAAUCUCCUUGACUCAUAAGUAAAAUUACAACUUACUAGCAGGCUAAAAUAAGAAGAUGGAGUUGAGCCAUAUGUUGACUAACCACACCUUUAACAUUUCCAUUCCCAAAAAUGGUGACCUUAUCCAUGGGAGGGGUCUUUGCACCCAGUUGAACUAGUGAUGGAAGUAAAUAGUUCAUGAAGAAAUUGCAUGAGAUGCAGGUAUAGGGUAUGCCUUCAGCUUCUAUAAGAUGCCGAAUUUCAGCUUUCCUUGAAUAAAACCCAUGGUCCAAAUCGGACAUUUGAGUUUUUUCUGGAUCGAGUCCAAAUUCUGAGGGAAUGAACUUCUGCAUAAAUUCAAAUUUAUUAAUAUUAGCACAUUAUUGGACAACUCUCUCUCUCUCUCUCUCCCUAUCUGCCACACACCUAAUUCAAAAAUAGUAAAUAGAAGUUUCAUUCACAUGUCCAAUCUACACAGGCAAUUUCAGUAUUAAUUAUGAAGAAGAAAAUGCUUCAGAAAAUUGUGUUCUCCAUGAAUGAAAAAAAUGUACAUGAAUAGGUAAAGCUGGACACUUAUUUUCCAAGAUUCUGCUAAUUUCAAGAAAUUAAUUUCUAGGGUCAUCUAUAUAUAAAAGACAACUAAUUAAAAUACAAUUUGUACACAAUCAUAAAAGGAAGUCAUAAUCAGGAAAGUCAGCACAAUCUUCAACAUAAUCAAGACAACAUCUUCAACAAUUUAUUAGUUUUAUCACCUUAGUAGACGAGAGGACCAGUCUCAGUCUCUCACACAAACAUAAAAUACAAAUAAUCAAUAGAAGUUUCAUUCAUACUUAGUCUAAUCUUGCACAUGGGCAAUUCCAGUAUUAUUUAUUAGUAUAACAAUGGGACCAGUUUCCAUGCCUACACACAUGUACAUAAAAUACAAACAAUCAAUAUGAGCUUCAUUCAUACUUAUUUUAAUCUUAUACUUAGACAAUCCUGGUACUAUUUAUUUAUUAGUUUAGUCUUUAGUGGACAACAGAAUCUUCCUCCAUCUCAGUAGAUAUAUAAAAUACAGAAGUCAACAAGUUCAAAUUUAGUCCAAUCUAAGGAAGUAAAUUCGUAAAAUACAGAAUUCCCCAUAUGAACAUCUCCCUGUUACCUAUUACCCCUCCCCCACAAUGAUGAUCAAUGAAUUUGACUAAAAUCUUCCACCAUAUAUGAUGCUUCCGAGAUUUUACCAGCAACCAAACUGUGUACUACAAAUGAUGGCAGCUAAUUGAGGAAAAAAACAGCCAUUUUCACCUAUGUCAUCAACCAAGAGCAAUGUAAAGAACCCUCUCCCUAAGAAAAUUUGUUUGUUCAUGUGAUGUGAUUCUUCUCCUUCGCGUAGUUUCGAUUUUUCAUUGUUAAUAAAUCUUAUCUCUCUCUCUCUCCGUUUCAAUUGAUCUUUAUUUAUUAUCUUUUCUAACCAAAAAUUCAACAUAUCAACAAGUUUGACCUAGAAAAGGGUUUGUGCAAUUUUCCUAUUCUUUUUGCCGCAAGCAUCACGCUGUCUGUGCACAACGAAAUAAAAUGAUAACACUAUUGAAUCUCUACCUAAAAUCUCUGCCACAGUCUCCAGAAUCACCAAAAAGCAGAGAAAAAUGACCUUGAUGCAACCAGCUAGUUUGAUAGCUUUAAUAACAGGCUUCUGAUCCAGAACCUGCUUGGAGGAAACAGCGCAAAUCACUACAUCCACUUGCUUCAUCGCUUCAACGAGGCUCGAUUCAUCUUCAAUCGAACCCUAUAAUUCAAACAAACAACAAUUCAAUACUUGAGGCCCAAGACAGAAAUGCGAGAGAGACUGAAAAGGAGAGACCUUGAGAAGAGUGGCUCCGGCGUCGGAGAGGGUUUGGAGGACGUGGCGCUUGUGAGGAUGAGAGAAAGCAGAGUCUCUGACGAGAGCGAAGGUUGGAUGUGAAGAUUGAAGGCUGGCUUUGGCGAGUUGGUGCCCUAGAUUUCCGGUUGCUCCGAUUAUCAGUACUCUGCUCUUUCCCAUCUUCCACUCCAGUUGCAGACCUCUUCUCAGGAAACAAGAGGCCGAGACUUGAGUAUGAAAGUGAUUUUAGGAAGCAAAAAAAUUUAUAAAAAAAAAAAAAAAAAAGUUUUUGAAAACAAAAAAGUGUUUGAAAUAAAUUUAAAAAACACUUUAAAAAAUAAUAGCGUUGAAAAUUCCCGUGAAAAACACUUUCAAAUAAAUAAAUAAGAAAAUUUAAUCUGAUUUUUUUUUUCGGCUUUAUUUAUUUUCUUUUGAAGAAUAAAGAAGUGAAAAUUAUAGCUAUUUUCAAAUAAUUCAUAUUUUUCAUGAUGCUUUGGGAAUUAAUUCUUUUUCCCUUCACAUUAAUUUUUUUUAAGAAUACAAACAGAUAAAUGAAAAGAGAAAGGGAAAAUCUGAAAUAAGUGCAUUGAGCAUAACUCUCAUUUCUAACAUGCCACGUGGACAAAACGAACGCCUAAUAUAACGGUCCUUUCACGGAGGUCUCAAAUUUGAAAUUUGAAACCAAGAAGAAAACAUAACGGUAGCAAUCGCCCUAAUCUUUAUAAGUUGCAGUCUCUCUCUUCAUUCUGAACCCCUUCAAAGCUCAGACCUCAGAGCUCUCAACCUUUCCAUCGAUCUUCGACGUUUCAAAGCUCCAUCUCGGAGAAAAGAUCUUUGAGGGCACUCGUUCGAUUUCUUCAAGGUUUGUAUUGUUCCUAAUUUAUUCGGUUGUUUCUUUGGAUUUUUUUUUUCUCUGAUCGAUCAUUUGGUUUUGAAGAUUUAAAGAUAUUGUGAUGGUUGGUGUGCAUCUAUUUUCAUUUUCUCGAAGACCCAUUUUUUUUUUUUUUUUUACCUUUGUUUGGUUGAUGAGAAAAUUGAAGAAAAUUGUGUCAUGAUGUUGUGUUGUUUUUGGAUGCUUGAAAUAGGAUUUUGGUUUUCCUUUUUUUUUUUUUUUUCCCAUCAAACAACUGACGAUGCGAAAUUUCAAUGUCAUUUUCUUUUCCUCGGUUUUCUUGAGAACCAAAAACAGAACCAAGAUUGAUCUCUGUCUUUGAUUCAACUGCUUUGAAUGAUUAAUCCCUCUGGUUUCAGAUCCCUUGUUGGAGAAAUCAUAAUCCCAUUUAUCAAAGAAACUCCAGCAUCAGUACAACCCCAUCACUUUUCCUUCAUCUUGACCGAAUCUGUGGUAUCUUCUAUUUAACUUCUCUGUUUCACUAUUCAAAUCUAUGUUUCUCCAUAUGAGAUUUUUCGUUUUACCAAUUUGAAUUUUCUCAUUUUUUAUUUCAAAUUCGAUAAACGUUCUAAGAAACUGACGAUUUCAGAUUAAUUUCCAGGUGGGUAUUCACAAAUAUCUGUGAAGAUGAAUGAUCUUAUGACAAAAUCGUUCCUCAGUUAUGUUGAAUUGAAGAAACAGGCCAUGAAAGAUCUCGAAUCUGAGCCAGACAUCGAGAUGGGAAAACUCGACCCAACAGAUGAACAAAACCUUACUAACUUCUUCGAAGAAGUGGGUGCAAUCAAGACAGAUAUGGAAGAGAUCGUCAAUCUCCUUCUAGACCUACAAGAUCUAAAUGAAGAGUCAAAAUCUACGCACAGUGCUAAAGUUCUUCGAGGGCUCAGAGACCGAAUAAACUCAGACAUGGUAACUAUUCUUCGAAAGGCGAAAAAUAUCAAAGCAAGAUUGGGAUCCCUUGAUCAAUCCAAUAUCGAUAAUCGCAGUAUAUCAGCUGCUUACAAGGAAGGAAGCCCAAUUGAUAGAACCAGAAUGUCAGUGACAAAUGGGUUGAGAAUUAAGCUAAGAGACAUGAUGAAUGAUUUUCAGUCCUUGAGAGACCAGAUUGUGAAAGACCACAAAGAAUGUCUCAAGAGGAGGUACUUCAAUGCCACUGGAGAGGAACCCAGUGAGGAAGUCGUAGAGAAGAUGAUUUUGGGAGGUGGGCAAGUGAAUGUUUUUGAUGGGAAGGCAGAUUUGGUAAUGGAGAAUCAGGAGAGGCAUGAGGCUCUGAAGGAGAUACAGAGAAGCUUGACAGAGCUCCAUCAAGUUUUUCUGGACAUGGCUGUUUUGGUUGAGAGACAAGGGGAAGAGGUCAAUGAUAUCGAGCAGAAUGUGGCUCAGGCUGGAGAUUACAUCAGUGAGGGGACAAAGAAGCUUGAUUCUGCUAAGCAGUUAAAGAAAAGGUCGAUGAAAUGGACUUAUUGUCUUGGAGCUCUCAUCUUUGUCUUGAUAUUGAUAUGCCUGAUUUUGACUUUCUUGAAGAAUUGAACAAUCAUAUCUCUGUCUUACUGGGUUUUUCAGAGAGGAGGGGGUCUGGUAUAUAUAUACAUGGAUACACAUAUAGACGUCUUCUUUUCCAAUAUUGCUUGAUAACAACUGAGAUUUUGUUGUGGUUUUGUCAUUUUCCAUUCUUAUACUGUAAAUGAAGUGGAAACUCAGGGAUUUGCUCAAGCUCUGAACAAAAGUACUCUUGGUUCUCUUCUUUUUCUUUGAUUUAUCAAUGAGUGUUUUUGGAUUUCUCAAUCUGUUUCCAUCUGUUUCCUUUUCUUCUCUUAUAGAGUUUGUGAUAGUGUUUGCUCUGUUGGCACAAUUUUCCUACCUAUAAAGAUUGGUCAAGAAUCAAGAGGCUGUAUUUUGGGUUAUUUGAUUAAGAUGGUCAAAACUUAAUUUUUGAAAUUUAAUCAAUUUUUUUUCCGAUAAAAACGGCCUUAUUAUUUUCUUGUAAAAAUAACUUUUUUUUUACAUGUAAAUAUUUGAAAUGGCAAAAGGGUAUUUAUGUAAAAAAAUGAGUUAUUUUUUAAGUAAAAACAUGAGAAGAGUAGUAUUCACAAUUUAAGGAUUAUUUCAACUCUUUUAACCAAGUAUUUUUUUGCAUUUUCUUCUAAAACAAGGGAGAAACACAAGAAUCUUCGAGUUCUAGCACAACCAAGCCCAAAUUUGCAUUGAACCACCUUUACAAUUUGGUUUAAGAUAAAAAAAAGUGAGUACCAAUAACAAUCUAAGUAACAUAUCAUAUUAUCAUACCAUUGUCACAUAUGAGUUAUUUACAAGUACGUACAAUUACAAUUCUGAUUACUUUCAAUCUUUCUAGAGUCGACGAUUACUAAUUCCUAUGAUUUGAAUACACAUCAAUUCUCGGGCCCCAUUGUUGUCCACUACAUUCAAAUGAGUUUGGUUAUAUAAUUGUUUUCCAAAAUAGUUUUUUGUUGUCCCAAAAAAGAAAAAAGGAAAACAUGUUUGAUAACUAUAAAAUAGAAAAUGGUUUCUAUUCUUAAAAACAAAAAAAAAAAAUGUUGUUUUUUGAAAAUAUUUUUUAACUGUUUUCAUUUGUUUUUUGAGGUUUAUUUUAAAAAUUAAUUAUACAAACAUAAAGAAUAAAGAAGGAUUAAAAUAAAGCAUUAUAAAAAUUAGUUUUAAAAUAUAUUUAAAAACAACAAAAACAAGUUAAAUAUUUUAAAUUUUCAAAUAAAUAUUUAUUUUAACAAAAUAUUGUAAAACAAUUUUCGAAAACUGUUUAGAAAAUUCUUAGCAAAAGCAACUUAAGUUUUUCCCAAGAUGACUCUUAUGCUAAAUUAGAUGAUUCUACAUCAAAUUACCUUUUGGAUAAUGAAGAAGACUGUGAAGGUAUCCUUCUUCUUAUAAGGAAAUCAAAAUAAGCUCUUCAAACAUACAACACUUCUUAUGGCUCUGAUACCAUAAACACUGAGGAUGAGGUAAUAUACAAUAAAAAUAUGAAUUAUGUUGAGAAUCAAAACAAAAUACACAUGAUAUUUAAUAAAUAAAUUUACAGAAAAGGAACAUGAAACUUUAUAUUACAUAACCUAAAAAAAAAAAAUACAUAUUAGGAGAAACAAGGAGAUGAAAUUUCUUACAAUGGGAAAGGCAAGGAAAAGCUUUGAAUAAAGCUUUUGGGCUUGAGAGCUUACAUAGUGAGAGAGGAAGAGGAGAGAAGGGAGAGCUUAAGAAGGGAAGAAGAGUGAAAAUUCAAUUGUGUUUACAACUGAGGAUCAAGCCUCCUUAAAUAGCUGAAAAAAUGAAUAAAAAACAGUACAUAGUGUAUGACAAGACACUGUGCAACUUUUGACUCCAGCUGAAAAUAGUAAUCAUUCGUGGAUGAAUAGUGAAUAGUAAAAUUGACUUUUUUACUGUAGCAAUAUUGAUUUGUUGGCAUACGAAUCUUGCUUUCGGUGGAGGAAAGUUGGUGUGCCAAGCAGGUUAAGAACUAUAGUAUCACAUGCUUGUAGACAAAAUUGCUUUCAGUGCUGACUUUUUAAAACUGCUUUUUAAAACAGUUUUCGAAAACAAUUAUUAAAAAGAGUUUUGUUCUUUUAGGUUAUUAAUCUUUUAGGCUGCUUGGUGCGACAUGGCUAAUCAGAAAGGAAGCCAAAUUCAAUGCUAGAAUUGUCUUUGAUUGAAUGUGGGCUCAAAAUCUGCAAUGGCCAAAUGAAUGAUUCUUCUCAAACUCGUUCCUCAUGCUAUCACUUCACCAAAAAUAUGCUUUUGGUUUUGAAUUAUUCAUGUGUGGGUGGUCCAUCCAUGCUAAGAGGCACCAGUUUCAGAACUGUUUGAAGGCAAUCACGCUUGCUUUUGAACAGUUACUAUUCAUUUAAGAGAGAGAAAAAAUGGUGGAGAUUGAAACACAUCUUCCCUAAUUCAUGCCCAUUUCUCUGGAUGGGUCAUUAAGAGAAAAGAAAAAUCAACUACGGACAAAUUUCAUGAAUGUCCUGCAAUGUAAAGCAAAACAAUAAAACAAAAAUGUUAAACAAAGAUUUUAUUAAAAUUGAUAAAAUUAUGGGUAUAAUCUUCGUACUAAUAUUCUUUACAAAAAAACAUAUCCCUUUAAUUCUUUCACCUUGAUCAUAAUUUGAAAGACGGUAAUAACGUUUUCUUGAUUUCGAAGAUCAAUCGAGAGUCACAUGUGACUUAUUCUCUGUGAACAUUGUGGUUUUUCUCUUUGUAAAGUCUCUUUUGAUGUCUAGACUCUCUUAUAAAGAAGUCAACAAUUCUCUUAUUUUGUCCAUGCAAGGUCAUGAAUCAUUAUAAACAGCUUCUGAAUAUUAAGCAUGUCUCAUGUGCUAGAUGCCUAGACCCAGGUCACCUCCAAAAGGUCGGUUAUAAUUCAUCUAAUCCAAUGAUCUUCUAAAGCUUCUAAGAACACCAAAAUGAAAUUUUUUGCAUCUCCAUUCUCCCUUGCUUACCUCAUCAUAUUUUGAACAAAAUCAACAUAAACUUUCAUUAGAUUCCUGCAAAAUAUGUAGUUGGUGUUCUUUCUUUGUUUAUAUUUGUAGCCAAAAUGAGCUCUGUUUUCUGUUCUCCAUACCAGAAAGCAAAAAAAGGAAUGCUAAGGAUGCUUGUUAAGUACGGAAAAGAAGGGCACGCAUCUAUGACUAACGAGUACCUGCUGUGUCUCUGGUCUGUCCUGAAUUUAUUGCCUUGAAAAAAAGUUCAACUGUCCUGACAGAGCCAUGGCAGUUAAAGAGGCAAGAGUUGUAGUGUAUGGCUGAGAAUUCAACAUGUAUAUAUGUCAUGAACCCCUACUCUCAAAUCUCAAUUUAACCUACGAUAGGAACUUGAGUGAGAUACACUGGAUGUCAUUCACUAUCACACAGUAUCGAAAUGAGUCACGACUCAGGAGGAUAAUAAUCAUUAAAGACAUGGGCCCCCUUACAUAUUUCCUGAUCUUAUUCAAAGAGAGAGCAUCAGAAGUGAACUUCAGGCAUGCAUACUCAGUCUUCAUUUGCAUCUUCCUCACUGUGGUUUCUUUCUUGUUCAGUUUGUUCAUGUUACAUAAGUUAGAAUCUAGAACCAUUAGGAUCAAAUCAGGCACAUGUCACUUUUAGGGGAGGAGGUGUUUGGGAGCUGAGAAAGUGGGGGAUUAUGGAAGUAGGAUGUGGUCUCUUAAACAGGGAAGCAAGAAGAUGGGGUUUUGGUGUCACCUUAACCCUCAUGUUGUGUUUGUCUAUGAGGGUUUACAUCCAUGGUGUUUCUGAAGACCAGUAUGCAUUUAUGGGGUAUGUUUUCUUUCUCUUUUUUCUUACUUCAAUCUUGGCUGUUGGCUAGUUGGCCUUUGCUGGAUUUAUAAUUGAGUCUUCUGGAAGAUCCUAAAAAAUUGUUUUGAUGAUAGUUUUUUAAAGUUGUCAAUUGUUUUUCAAAAACAAAAUUAUGUUUUGAACACAAAUAUAGGAAACAUUUUUUUCUAUUUUACGUAAAAGUAUUAUGGAUUUAUCUAUGUCGUUUAUAUUUUCAAUUAUUACUCAAAAAAUAUUAUAAAAAUAAAUAAAUUUAAAAAAUAUAAAAAAAAAAUAAAAAAUAAAUUAAAAGUUAAAUAAAUUAUUUUUAUUUACUACUUGAAAUUUAUUUUACUUAUUUUAAUUCUUUAAUAUAAAAAUUAAAUAAUUUUAAAAUAUAUAAGCUUCUAACCAAUUUUAAUUAUAUUAUAUUUUUUUAUAGAGUAACUAAAUAUAAAAAGUAAUUUUUUUUAUAUAUUUUUUUUUCUUUAAUAUUUCUAGGAACAAACAUAACCUGAAAAAUUGAUCAUACCAAUAAAAAAGACUUCAUGAGAAAGUGUGGCUAUAGGUAACACAAAUAAAAGAUAAUAUAAGGGUGGCCACGACUAUGGACUUUUCCAAAUAAAUUUCCCGUCAAUACCAAUACCCAUAGAUGCGGUUGAAAUGUAUUUAAGGUUAGAUAUUUUCUUUAGGAGAAUUUUAUGGUACCACGUAGUACCAAAUAAUUAUUUUGGACUAUUCUUGAUAAGAUUUUGAUAAUUCUUUUUAAUAGGUUUUAUUUAAUUUUUUAUUAUAUUAUAUAUAUAUAUAUAUAUAUAUAAUGUGAACAAAGAAAGAUUAAAACGAAAUAUAAAAUAAUUUUUUUUUAAAUAUUUGAAAAUAUGAAAAAUAAGUUACAAAAUUUACAGCUUAAAACAUCCUUUAAUUAAAUUAAAAAAAAAAAAAAACCAUCUAGAAGGUUUUUUAAAGCUCCUGAAAGAUUAUUUUUGUCUUCUCUGAAACCUUCCAAAAUUUUCAUUCCCGCAAGAUCAAGAUUCUGAGUUCAUUUGACUGAUCAUGGCUGUGGUUUCCAUGAGUUCAGGGAUCUCAAGAACAUGAUUCUGGGCAUAUCAGUCGGAGAAAUUUCCCCACAACACCAUGAUGUUGAUGCAAAGAAACAUGCAAAGAAUGUUGUUUCUCCUAACUUAACAACGUGCCAUGAAUCUGUUCCUCGGCCUGGUCUCUCCGUGUACUGCUGCCCUCCAAAACCCGAAUCAGAAGAGCCCUUCAUCGAUUUCCAGUUCCCCGAUCCCUCCUCGCCUUUACGUCUGCGCCGGGCGGCCCAUCUCGUUGAUGAUGACUACAUAGCUAAGUACAGAAACGCCGUAUCAAUAAUGAAAUCCCUUCCUUAUGAUGAUCCAAGGAGCUUCCUUAGCCAAGCGAACCUCCAUUGUAUUUACUGCACCGGCGCCUAUAAGCAGAAAAACUCAGAUAUUCCUCUUCAUGUCCACAGAUCAUGGCUGUUCUUUCCCUGGCACAGAAUGAUGCUCUACUUCCAUGAGCGAAUCCUCGGGAGUCUGAUCGGAGAUGACAGUUUUGCUUUGCCGUUUUGGAACUGGGACAACCCUGAUGGCAUGGUGAUCCCUGAAAUGUACGUGACUGGUUCAUUAGUUGAUACUGAUCGGGAAAAUUCUCAUCUUCCACCCCAAGUUGUGGACUUGAACUACAAUUUACAGGAGAAAGGAUUGGGACCUGAGGAGCAGAUAAAGAUCAACAUGGCGCUGAUGUAUACCCAAAUGGUAUCAGGUGCGAAGACGACUGAACUCUUCAUGGGUUGUCCUUAUAAGGGAGGUGAGGGAGGCUUCUGUGAAGGACCCGGCACCAUAGAGCUUGCACCUCAUAAUACAUUACACGAUUGGACCGGUACCGGUUUGAAUCCUGGAAGGGAGGACAUGGGCUCAUUCUACUCUGCUGGAAGGGACCCCAUCUUCUAUGGACACCAUGGGAAUGUAGACCGUCUUUGGGAAGUUUGGAGGAGGCUCCAAUGGGAGUACUACAAUUCAGAGAUCACUGACACUGAAUGGCUAGAUUCUUACUUUUUCUUCCAUGAUGAGAAAAGGCAGCUUGUGAGGAUCAAAUUCCAGGAUGUUGUCAACAUAACAAGGCUCAGGUAUGCUUAUGAGGAGGUCGAGCUGCCAUGGCUCAACGCCCGUCCUCGGCCUUCAGUCCCUCCCAAGAUUGCCCGUGACAUACUAAAAAUGAGAGACCUUGAUCAUGAGAACAACCAGGAACUUCCAAGCAGCCCCUUUUUAUCAGCAGACUUUGGACCCCAUGGUCGAACUCUGGACACCACCAUAAGGGUAAAGGUCCAUAGGCCAAAGAAGCAUAGGAGCAAGAAACAGAAAGAUUUCAAAGAAGAAGAGGUCAUGGUUGUGUAUGGAAUUGAGGUCAAGGAGGACAGUUAUGUUAAGUUUGAUGUGUAUGUGAAUGCAGUUGAUGAGACAUUAAUGGUUGGUCCAGAGUUCAGAGAGUUUGCAGGGACCUUUGUUAACAUUCCUAUUGGUGUUUGGCCAGUAAUGAGGAGGAAGAGUAAUCUUAAAUUGGGGAUCUCAGAAUUAUUACAAGACUUGGAGGCAGAUGAAGAUGAGAGCAUCUGGGUAACCUUGAUACCAAGAGCUGAAGACUGUAUGAAUGUAACCAUUGAUGGGAUUAGGAUUGAAUACAUUGAAUAAGUGAACCUGAUCUUGGGUUCAACUCCAAAUAAAACUGUCAAAAAUAAUAGAUUAGUUUUGGCUUUCAUGGCAGUAUAUAUUAUUUGUUAGAUACUGUUAUUAUACAAGCAGGCAUCCACUGUAAAAGAAUGCCAUUUCAGAUGUAAAAUAACUUUCUGUUCAAUUACAAGUCAUGUAAUGCAGUUUGGUCGGUGAUAAAGCUAAGGGUGAGUCUGAUAAAAAAAUGAAAAGAAUGAUUGAAACAGCUAGCUUAGUUUUCUCAUUAAUUAUGAAAAAAAAAAAAAGGAAAGAAAGAAAAGAAGAGAAAAAGAACUUUAAAUAUCCAUUCAAGUAGGCUAGCUCUGGGGAAAAUGCCUGAAAUAUUUAUCAACUGGUUUCAUUUUCAUAGACUGUGAGACAAGUGGAACAAACAGUCAAAAGAGAAAUGGAAAUCUUGUAGUUUGAUGCAUUUACAUGAUAAGUUGUCAGCAAGCCAAUAAGUUUUACUAUUCCCUUCCAACGAUCUCUCUGGAGAGUUGAUUCAUAGAUUGUAUCAUUUUCCCAAUUAAUUCAGUGUUGCUGUCCAUGGAAAUUGGUGGCCUGCAAAAGACCCAGCAGCCAUGAAAUAUCAGCUGGUGAUUCAUGGAUUGGAUGUGAUUAGUUGUAGUGUGCAUGCAAUUAGUAAUGCUUGAAUUGUAAAUGGGUUUGGUAGGGACUAAUCCCCAUCAUUGUUAUGCUGGGACCCGCAUUAAUAAAGAAAAGCUUGUCCUUGAUUGUGGCAUUGCUGAAGAGAUUUCGAUAGAAGGUUGAUUCAUCAUUGUUAUGCUGGGAACUGAUUGUGGCAUUGCCCUCGUGAGGCUGUUGGGCUUUGUGGAGCCUAGUUUUGUUUGAUCCGAUUUGAUGACCCGACCCGAAUAAUAUUGUAUGGCUUUUUAAUGGGAGAUUUAUUGAGACCUGUUGGGCUCAUUUAGCCCAUUGUGGAACCACCUUUUUAAUUAGGGUUUUUUAGUGUGGUGGGGUUGUUGUUUUAUAUAUAUAGAGAGAAUAUUGUAACCGCCAGGUUGUACUCUAUAUUCUUCCCUGAUAAUAGUGAUAUCCCUGCAACUCUGUAGAUGUAGGCAAAUUGCCGAACCAUGUAAAUAUUGUCUUGUGCAUGUGAUUGUUUUUCUUUGGCGUGUGUUUUUCUCUAAUUUUUUGUUUCUCACGGGUUGGGAAUUCGGUUUAAUUCCCUACAACUGGUAUCAGAGCCUAGGGUUAGGUUUGAGUGGGAGCAAUGGCAGAGGAAGCAGGAAAGGAGUCUGGAAUAGAAAAGUUUGAUGGCACAAACUUUGCGUAUUGGAGGAUGCAGAUUGAAGAUUAUUUCUAUGGGAGGAAAUUGCAUCUGCCUCUUUUGGGGACAAAACCUGAGAGUAUGAAGGCUGAGGAAUGGGCGCUUCUUGACAGACAGGUUCUAAGAGUUAUUAGGUUAACUCUGUCUAGGUCUAUUGCACACAAUGUUGUAAAGGAGAAGACCACAGUAGAUCUGAUGAAGGCUUUGUCCGGUAUGUAUGAAAAGCCGUCUGCAAACAAUAAGGUGCAUCUGAUGAAGAAAUUGUUCAAUUUGAAGAUGGCAGAGAUGCAUCAGUAGCACAACAUCUGAAUGAAUUUAAUACAAUCACAAAUCAAUUGUCGUCUGUAGAAAUUGAUUUUGAUGAUGAGAUUCGUGCUUUGAUCGUCUUGGCUUCUUUGCCAAAUAGUUGGGAGGCAAUGAGGAUGGCAGUAAGCAAUUCUACUGGAAAGGAAAAGCUCAAGUACAAUGAUAUACGAGAUUUAAUUCUGGCUGAGGAGAUUCGCCGAAGAGAUGCAGGUGAAACCUCAGGAUCUGGUUCUGCCCUAAAUCUUGAGACAAGAGGUAGAGGUAAUAACAGAAAUUCAAAUCAAGGUAGAUCAAAUUCCAGAAAUUCUAAUCAGAACAGAAGCAAAUCUAGAUCAGGCCAACAAGUACAAUGCUGGAAUUGUGGGAAAACAGGUCACUUUAAAAGGCAAUGCAAAAGCCCUAAGAAGAAGAAUGAAGAUGAUUCUGCUAAUGCUGUAACAAAAGAGGUACAGGAUGCAUUACUUCUUGCAGUAGACAGUCCACUUGAUGAUUGGGUUUUGGAUUCAGGAGCUUCGUUUCAUACCACUCCACACCGAGAAAUCAUACAGAAUUAUGUUGCAGGUGAUUUUGGUAAGGUGUAUUUGGCUGAUGGUUUAGCCUUGGAUGUUGUGGGUCUGGGAGAUGUCCGGAUAUCGUUGCCCAAUGGGUCUGUUUGGUUACUGGAGAAGGUUCGAUAUAUUCCUGACCUGAGGAGGAAUCUGAUUUCUGUUGGACAACUUGAUGAUGAAGGACAUGCAAUACUAUUUGUUGGUGGUACUUGGAAGGUUACAAAGGGAGCUAGGGUAUUAGCUCGUGGAAAGAAGACUGGCACUAUGUAUAUGACCUCAUGUCCAAGAGACACAAUUGCAGUUGCUGAUGCAAGUACUGAUACAAGCCUAUGACACCGCAGACUUGGUCACAUGAGUGAGAAAGGGAUGAAGAUGUUGUUGUCAAAAGGAAAACUACCAGAAUUGAAGUCCAUUGAUUUUGACAUGUGUGAAAGUUGCAUCUUAGGAAAGCAAAAAAAGGUGAACUUCUUGAAAACUGGCAGGACACCGAAGGCUGAAAAAUUGGAACUAGUACACACUGAUUUGUGAGGGCCUUCUUCGGUUGCAUCCCUAGGAGGUUCAAGGUACUACAUCACCUUUAUUGAUGACUCAAGUAGAAAGGUAUGAGUUUAUUUUCUGAAAAAUAAAUCUGAUGUAUUUGUAACUUUUAAGAAGUGAAGGCCAUGGUUGAGACAGAAACAGGUUUGAAAGUAAAAUGUUUGAGGUCAGAUAAUGGAGGAGAGUACAUAGAUGGAGGAUUCAGUGAGUAUUGUGCUGCACAGGGAAUUAGGAUGGAGAAGACCAUUCCUGGGACACCACAGCAGAAUGGUGUGGUUGAGCGCAUGAACAGAACUCUCAAUGAGCGUGCUAGAAGUAUGAGGUUGCAUGCUGGACUACCAAAAACUUUUUGGGCUGAUGCUGUUAGCACUGCAGCUUACCUGAUAAACCGAGGACCAUCAGUUCCCAUGGAGUUCAGACUUCCUGAGGAGGUUUGGAGCGGUAAAGACGUGAAGUUUUCACAUUUAAAAUUUUUGGUUGUAUUUCUUAUGUUCAUAUUGAUUCUGAUGCUCGUAGUAAACUUGAUGCAAAGUCAAAAAUAUGUUUUUUCAUUGGCUAUGGUGAUGAGAAAUUUGGCUAUAGGUUUUGGGAUGAACAAAACAGGAAAAUCAUCAGAAGUAGAAAUGUGAUAUUUAAUGAACAGGUUAUGUACAAAGACAGGUCAUCUGUAGUGUCAGAUGUUACAGAGAUAGAUCAAAAGAAAUCUGAGUUUGUCAACUUAGAUGAAUUGACUGAAAGUACUGUCCAAAAAGGGGGUGAAGAAGAUAAGGAGAAUGUAAAUUCACAGGUAGAUCUGAGUACACCUGUAGUUGAAGUUCGCAGAUCUUCUAGGAACAUUAGACCUCCGCAGCAUUAUUCACCUGUUUUAAAUUAUCUCCUGUUGACUGAUGGUGGUGAGCCAGAGUGUUAUGAUGAAGCCUUGCAAGAUGAGAAUUCAAGCAAGUGGGAGUUAGCCAUGAAGGAUGNNNNNNNNNNNNNNNNNNNNNNNNNNNNNNNNNNNNNNNNNNNNNNNNNNNNNNNNNNNNNNNNNNNNNNNNNNNNNNNNNNNNNNNNNNNNNNNNNNNNAGAAGUUUGACAAUUUUUAUGCAUAGAAUUGGGUUCAAGAGAUGUGAAGCUUGUAUGUUAAGUCCUUUGACAACUCUUACAUCAUAUUACUGUUGUAUGUGGAUGAUAUGCUUAUUGUAGGGUCUGACAUUGAGAAGAUUAAUAAUCUGAAGAAGCAAUUGUCCAAACAGUUUGCAAUGAAGGAUUUGGGAGCUGCAAAGCAAAUCCUUGGUAUGAGAAUCAUUAGAGACAAGGCUAAUGGUACAUUGAAGCUUUCACAGUCAGAGUAUGUGAAGAAAGUUCUCAGCAGGUUCAACAUGAAUGAAGCUAAACCAGUGAGCACACCCUUGGGUAGUCAUUUCAAACUAAGCAAAGAACAGUCACCAAAGACAGAAGAAGAAAGGGACCAUAUGAGCAAGGUGCCCUAUGCCUCAGCUAUUGGCAGCUUGAUGUAUGCUAUGGUGUGUACAAGGCCAGACAUUGCACAUGCAGUGGGAGUUGUGAGCAGAUUCAUGAGUAGGCCUGGAAAGCAGUAUUGGGAGGCAGUCAAGUGGAUUUUAAGAUAUCUGAAGGGUUCAUUAGAUACAUGUCUUUGCUUCACAGGUGCAAGUUUGAAAUUGCAGGGUUAUGUAGAUGCUGAUUUUGCUGGUGAUAUUGAUAGUAGAAAGAGUACUACUGGGUUUGUUUUUACUCUAGGUGGUACAACUAUAUCAUGGGUUUCAAAUCUACAGAAGAUUGUUACUUUGUCUACCACAGAAGCUGAGUAUGUUGUAGCAACUGAAGCUGGAAAGAAGAUGAUUUGGCUACAUGGUUUCUUAGAUGAAUUGGGUAAGAAGCAGGAGAUGGGCAUUCUAUACAGUGACAGUCAGAGUGCAAUUUUUCUUGCCAAAAAUUCGGCUUUUCAUUCAAAGUCAAAGCAUAUACAAACAAAAUACCACUUUAUCCGUUAUCUUGUUGAAGAUAAACUAGUAAUACUUGAGAAGAUUUGUGGAUCUAAGAACCCGGCAGACAUAUUGACUAAGGGUGUCACUAUUGAGAAGUUGAAGCUGUGCGCAGCUUCAAUUGGUCUUCUAGCUUGAGGACAGGAGGAUGAGUUGUGGGGAUGAGGGAUUGUUUCUUGGAGGAUAGCGGUUUGAUGUUGGUGAUUGGACUAGUCUCCAAGUGGGAGAUUUGUUGGGCUUUGUGGAGCCUAGUUUUGUUUGAUCCGAUUUGACGACCCGACCCGAAUAAUAUUGCAUGGCUUUUUAAUGGGAGAUUUAUUGAGGCUUGUUGGGCUCGUUUAGCCCAUUGUGGAACCACCUUUUUAAUUAGGGUUUUUUAGUGUGGUGGGGUUGUUGUGUUAUAUAUAUAGAGAGAAUAUUGUAGCCGCCAGGUUGUACUCUGUAUUCUUCCCUGAUAAUAGUGAUAUCCCUGCAACUCCGUGGAUGUAGGCAAAUUGCCGAACCACGUAAAUAUUGUCUUGUGCAUGUGAUUGUUUUUCUUUGGCGUGUGUUUUUCUCUAAUUUUUGUUUCUCACGGGUUGGGAAUUCGGUUUAAUUCCCUACGGAGGCUGCUCUAAUAAAAGGGCAAUGCCACAAUCAGGUGCUCAUUAAUCCCCAUCAUUUUUUAAGAAGAUGAGCAAGGUUGAUCAACCCUUCCAAGCAGCCUCAUUGUAUCAGCAGCCUUUGGACCCCAUGGUCAAACUCUGAACACCACCAUAAGAGUAAAGGUCCAUAGGCCACAGAAGCAUAGGAGCAAGAAACAGAAAGAUUUCAAAGAAGAAGAGGUCAUGGUUGUGUAUGAAUUGAGGUCAAGGAGGACAUUUAUGUUAAGUUUGAUGUGUUUGUGAAUGCAGUACUUAAUGAGACAUCAAAGGUUGCUCCAGAGUUCAUAGCGUUUGCAGGGACCUUUGUUAGCCUUCCUCAUGGUGUUUGGCUGGUAAUGAGGAAGAGUAGUCUCAAAUUAGGGAUCUCUGAAUUAUUACAAGACUUGGAGGCAGACGAAGAUGAGAGCAUCUGGGUAACCUUGGUACCAAGGUUCAACUGUAUGAAUAUAACCAUCGAUGGGAUUAAGAUUGAGUGAAGCUGAUCCUGGGUUCAACUCCAAAUAAAACUGCCAGAAAUAAUAGACUGGUUGUGGCUUUCAUGGCAGUAUAUGUUAUUUGUUAGAUACUGCUAUUAUACAAGCAGGCAUCCACUGUCAAAGAAUGCCAUCUCAGAUGUAAAAUAGUUUUGUUUCAUUAGAAGUCAUGUAAUGCUGUUAGAUUGGUGAUAAAGUUAAGGUUGAGUUUGAUCUAAAAAAUGGUAAGAAUGAUUGAUGCCGCUGCUUUGUUUUCCCUUGAAUCAUGAAAAAGAAAAAGAACGGGGUAACUCUGGGGAAUAUGUCUGAAAUAUUUAGCAACCGAUUUCAUUUUCAUAGACUGAUGCAUGACAAACGUCAAUUUUGACAUUGAAUGUACGUUAGGGAUUUGAAAGGUUCCAACUUCCAAGUGGUUGAUACGUUGCCAACUAGCUAUCAAGUUUUACUAUUCCCUUUUAACAUUCUCUCUGGAGAGUUGUAUCGUUUUCUUAAUUAAUUCAGUGUUGUUGUCCAUGGAAAUUGGUGAGCCUGCGAAUGGCCCAUCAGCCAUGAAAUAUCUGUUGGUGCAUGAUUCUUGGAUUGGAUUGGAUGUGAGUAGUUGUAGCGUGUAUGCAGUUAGUAAUGCUUGAAUUUUAAAAGGGUUUGGUAGAGAAUAUUGCAUUAAUGAUCCCACAGCUAUUAUUGUGAUACUCCCUUGAAGAAAAAGUUUUUGAAAAAAUUUAUGCAUAUAUUUCUUUUAACCAUGUAGAUGCAUUUAAAGUUAUAAAAGUUUAUUGAGUUCAACACCGAUAAUAUCUAUACAGAAGGGAGAGUUGAUCCGAACUCUAGUGUGAGAGUUUGUUUGGUCUCGUCAUCCAUGUAAACUCUGUUAUCUCUACAUAGGGUGUGGGUCACUUUUAAAGCCAAGUGUAGACUCAUCAAACUCACAAUGGACGAUAUCUAUAGGGAAGAGAGUGGAUUGUUAUGGUUUUUAUUCUUGAUUAUGGUACCAUUUUGCUCAACCUCCAUCGGAAGGCAUCUGAAAUCAUACAGACAGGGCGGUAGAAGGUUAAUCUUGAUUUCUUCUGGGUAAUGAACUGAAUUCACCCAUUAUUCAAUGAAUGGGCACAUGUCUCCUCCACCAUCUACUUCAUCUUAGCCUCUGUUACGCAGGUAAAAAAUAAGAUGUGUACAGCAUGUGGGCCAACAUAAUACUGCAGGCAGAUGUUGUUCUUUCAUACUAAAGUAUGCACAUAGUCAUAAAUCUUAUUCACACUGUACCUCAUCCAUGUCACUUGUCUUUUAUCUACUUUAUCAGAACAAGACAUUCAUAUUGCCCUUUUAUUAUUAAGUGAAGAAGAUCAACGUGUACAACCAAAUAAAAUUUUCUAUUGAAUUACAAAGAAUAGUUUAUCAAUUACAGAGACAAUUCCUUAGAUUCUGAAGUCCAAAUUAAUCAAACAAUCAGUUGACAAAUCCUGUGUUGUUCUAGUUUUUUCCAUCAGUAUUCAUGGUGAUAACACUAGAGCCUCUCAUGAAGUAGGUUGGUGCAGGUCUAAGCCAGCCCUGCCCUCCUAUCAUCUCCUUCGUCAGGAAGGGUACGGCUUCAUCGCUUGAUAGGCUCCGCGACCAUUCAACUCUUUCCGUUCUAUUGGCACCAGGACCAUAACACUUGUAUUCGCCAUAGUAUACUGUGCUGUAAAACCAAAAGCACGGCAAAAAAUCAAUAAUCGACAAACUUAGACAAGGAAAUUUCAAUUUUGAAAGAAUUAAGUGUGAUAUCAUGGUAUGUAUAUAUAGACUCCUUUAAUCAUGUAGAAUGUUUUUAAAGUUGUGAGAGCAUAUUAAGUCCAAAACCGAUAAUAUUUACAUAAUUGGGAGUGAAAUAUUAUAAAUAGUAUCAAAGCUGAUUUUCUCGAUACGGGAGUUUAUUUGUUUGAUUAUGUAAUAAGUGUUUUUGUUUGACUCUACAAUUUCAUAAAAUACAACGAGGACGUUAUGCUGUGUAAAGAUGAUUGUGAUAUCCUAGAUAGAAAAAAAAGUUUCUAAUUAUAUAUAUAAACUUUUUUAAACAAAUAUAUAUAGACAUUUUUUAAAGGUGGGUCCAUUGAUUCGGACUAUAUUUACAUAGUUGGGUUGGGAGGGAAUAUGACAUAUAUACCUUUGCUUGUUGGAGUCUCCCCAGUCAUCCCAUCCCUGUGGCUGUACCACACUGGACAUGAAGGAUAGAACAAACACCACCCUAGAGUAAGGACCCCAUGGCCUUCCAAGGUAAGGAGUUCCAACGCCUGUGAUCUUGCAGCCCAAGAAGGUAAAGCCAUUGUUCUCUGAAGUAGACCCUCUUUGUUGGGCAGUGAUGGCUCCAUUUCCUUCAGAGAGUGAAUGCAGGUGACACUUCUGCAAGAACAUCAUCCCAACUGGGUGAAAAUUCUGAAACAAGGCAUAUCAACUCAGACUUCUUUCCCCUGAAACCUAGUAGAAAUUAAACUUACUUCAAAGAGAGAAGCAGCACUUCCACAGAUGAAAUCAGUGGCUCCUUCAAUGUAGCAGUUUCUGUAGUAAUGUCUUCCAGCAUCAUCCAGGAGAGUGUCCUGAUAAGACAGGAUCCUGCAGUUGUAGAAUGCAGCUCUGUCGCCCGAUACCCUUACUGCAACAGCUUUGCUGCU
This 55950-nucleotide long non-coding RNA is filed under the name Vitis vinifera (wine grape). RNAcentral's name for it is "long non-coding RNA (VVIN_LNC000658)". Lineage: Eukaryota; Viridiplantae; Streptophyta; Magnoliopsida; Vitales; Vitaceae. The record is from RNAcentral.